This 89054-nucleotide long non-coding RNA is filed under the name Triticum aestivum (bread wheat). RNAcentral's name for it is "long non-coding RNA (TAES_LNC023918)". The record is from RNAcentral. Lineage: Eukaryota; Viridiplantae; Streptophyta; Magnoliopsida; Poales; Poaceae.
UUUUUUUUGGUUUUUCCAAGGUUUUUCAAACACACAAGAAGAAAGCGAGAAAAUAAAUUUAACAUGGAUAAUACAAUGGAAAAGUGUGGACACCGACAACUGGAAUGAAAUGUUUGAAGAUGAAUGUAAUGUCGGUGGAAAACCGUACACCCCCAAGCUUAGGCUUUUGGCCUAACUUGGUAAGCGGUCAGUAGCUUGGAUAGUAGUCGGAGUGGUAGCUCAUGGAGGCUCUUGGUGCAGAUGCCUCAGCCUGCCGUGCUGCCUCAACCGCAACGUUGUGGGCUCAGGCCUCGCUCUCAAGAACGAAAUAUCUUCCCUUGCUGUGAUAAUCAGACAGAGCAAGCCCAGGCAAAUAUGUGUGCAUAACAGAUGCUUGGUUAAACAACAAAUUAUAGGUGAAAUUAUGAAUAUCUCCUUUAAGGAUCUUAUGACCUUUCAUAGCAUCAAAGUCUAAAUACUGCGUGGGUAGAAUAGGAUCAAAGGGAAAAGGUGAAACACCGAGCUCUCUCGCUAAACUCGUGGCAUAAAUUCCACCAUAGAAAUAGCCACUAUUAGCGUUGUGUUGUAACCUGCGUGCAAAAAUAGCCCCAAGAUUAUAACUUCUAUCACCGGUGAGAGCGGUGCGUAUGAGGCUCAAGUAUGGAGCAUAAAGUGUACUACAAUCUUGCUUGCCUACUAUACAUUUUCCAUUAAAUAAAGCAAAGUACUGAAUUGCGGGAAAAUGAAUACUCUUUAUUCUACCUUGCGUCACUCCCCUCGUCUCACCGUAGCAAAGACUAGUCAAGAAUGAUUGGUACUCAACCCUCGGUGGUUCGUCAAGCGAACCCCAGAAUGGGAGCUUGCAGUGGUGAGCAAAUCUCUCUAGUGAAAAGGUGAAUGGAUUUUCAUACAGUUUAAACGACACCCUAGACUCACGUGGAUGAAAUUUAAAUUCUUUGACAAAUGAUUCAGUGAGAGUGUGGUGUUGAUCGCACUUAUCUGAAAUGUAGGGACCGAGACCGGCAUUGUGAAUAUAUUGCUCAAAUUCCUCUUUAAUGCCCACACACACCAUAUAAUCAUCGCAUUGCCAUAGGCAUGUUUUGGUGGCGGCAUCUUGAAUGGAACUUUCACUUGGUUCAACAUAAGACCGGCGAGCAGAGUUGUCACUAGAAGAUGCCCCCGAGGAUCUCCUCCUCGAAGAACUCCUUCCAAAUAGGUUCAUCAUGUUCACGUACAAUUUUCUGAAAAUUGUUGGGUGACAAAAAUUUAUCAACAAAACUUUGUACAAUUGAUAGCAACUACUCAUAGGGAUACAUAGAGGCCAUAGAAAGCAUUGAAACUACUUAGAACUCUAAGAAUUCAACAUGCAAGCUCAUCUACAGCAGCACCAAGAGUAGCUAAUUAUUCAAAUGUAAACCACUAAAACAAAAACUAAUUGGACAAACGGUGGAGUCACAUACCAAGCAACAAUCCCCCGAAACAGUUUCGGAAACGGGGCUUCGAGCAAAGAGAUCGAAAUCCGCGGGUUUGAGAACAAGAACACGAGAGAGAGAGAGAGCAAUGGAAGUGAUGAUGUGGUGUGAAGGGAUAAGUUAGGGCCCACAUGGGGACCACAACCCACCAGGUCGCGCCUGGGGGUCCUGGCGCACCCAGGUGGGUUGUGCCCACCUGGUGCACCUCCCUAUGAUAUUAUUUGCACCAGAAAUUCUUAAAUAUUCAGAAAAAAUUGUAUUAAAUUUUCAGGGCAUUCUAAGACUUUUAUUUUUGGGUCAUUUUUUAUUGCACGGGAAAUUCAGAAAACCGAGAAAACAUGGCAUUUUAUUUUAUUUAACUAGUAGGAACAGAAAAUAAAAGGUAGGGACAAAAGGUAGUGUUCACUAAAUUCAUCAACUUCAUACCUCUAAAAAAUGAUCCAUUAAUAAGGUUGAUCAGGUCUUAUUAACAACCACUUUCGAUUAACAUGAAACCGAAGAACUUUCGUAAAUCACUAAGUUACCUCGACGGGGAUAUGAAUGUCCCCAACAAUAAGCAUUUCAUAUUUCUUUUUAAUAGUAGAUAGAGGUAGUUGAAAACUUCCAAUAGUGAUUAUCGGAGAUUUUUCAUUAACAUUAAUACCAUUCACUUGGAAUUGUUUCUUCGGAAAGUGCACCGUAUGCUCAUUACCAUCGAUAUGAAAAGUGACCUUGCUUUUAUUGCAAUCAAUAACAUCCCCUGCAGUAUUCAUGAAGGGUUUACCAAGGAUAAUCGACAUGUUGUCGUCCUCGGGCAUCUCAAGUAUAACAAAGUCAGUCAAAAUAGUAACAUUAGCAACAACAACGGGCACAUCCUCACAAAUACCGAUAGGUAUGGCAGUUGAUUUGUCAGCCAUUUGCAAAGACAUUUCAGUAGGUGUGAGUUUAUUCAAGUCAAGUCUUUUAUAUAAAGAGAAAGGCAUAACACUAACACCAACUCCUAAAUCACACAAACCAGUUUUCACAUAAUUUCUUUUGAUGCAACAAGGUAUAGUUGGUAUUCCCGGAUCUCCAAGUUUUUUAGUUACUCCAUCUUUAAAAGUAUAAUUAGCAAGCAUGGUGGAGAUUUCAGCUUCCAGUAUUUUUAUCUUAUUGGUGAUGAUGUCUUUCAUGUAAUUGCAUAAGGAGGCAUUUUCAAGAUAUUAGUCAAGCGAGUACGCAAAAAGACUGGCCUCAGCAUUUCAGCAAAGCGUUCAAAUUCUUCAUCAUCUUUCUUUUUAGUUGACUUAGGUGGAAAGGGCAUAGGUUUUUGAACCCACGGUUCUCUUUCUUUAUCGUGUUUUCUAGCAAUAAAGUAUCUUUUAUCAUAUUGUGUAUUCUUAGGUUGUGGGUUAUCAAGAUCAACAACUGGUUCUAUUUCAACAUCAUUAUCUGGUUCUUUUUCAUUGUUUGGUUGAGUAUCUUCAUGAACAGCAGCAUUAUCUUUUUCAUUAUAACUAGGCGAGUGUUCGUUACCAGAUUGAGUUUCAGCAUCAGAGAUAGAGAUAUCAUUAUCAUUAUCAGGAGGUUUUUCUAUUUCAGAUUCACUAGAAGCAUGCAAGGUCCUAUCAUUUUUCUUCUUCUUCUUUUUAGAAGGACUAGCUGCAGUGGUGUUGUUCCUUUGUGAAUCAUGUUCAAUUCUUUUUGGGUGUCCCUCAGGAUAAAGUGGUUCCUGAGUCAUUUUACCUCCUCUAGUUGUAACUCUAACAACAAAGUCAUGUAUAUUAUUAUUCAUUUCAUCAAGCAAUUCUCUUUGAGAUUUAGCAACUUGUUCUAACUGGAUUUUAACCAUAGAAGCAUGUUUUCCAACACCUCUAACAUCAUUUGAGAUUCUAAAUAACAAGUCACUGAAGCGAGCAAUCAUAUCAGAAUUGUAUUUCAGCUAUUUCAUAACAUUUGCAUUGAAGUGAUCUUGUUUUCUAAUGUAGUUUUCAAACUCAUAAAGGCAUUGGCUAGGGUGCAUAUUGUGAGGAUUGUCAUUAUCAUUGAACUUCAUUAGAGAAUUUACCUCUACCACCUUAGGAAGCAGUGGUGUAUUAAGCCCAUGUAUUUCUUCAAUAGGAGGUAAAAUUUUAACAUCCUCAGCUUUAAUACCUUUUUCCUUCAUAGAUUUAUUUGCCUCUUGCAUAUCUUCAGGACUGAGAUAUAAUAUACCCCUCUUCUGUGGAGUGGGUUUAGGCGGUGGUUCGGGUAGAGUCCAAUCAUCAUAAUUUUUCAAUAUAUUAUUCAAUAAUUCUUUAGCUUGUCCAACAGUUCAUUCCUUGAAAACGCAACCAACACAACUAUCUAGGAAGUCCCUAGAAGCAUCGGUUAGUCCAUUAUAGAAGAUAUCAAGUAUUUCAUUUUUCUUAAGAGGAUGAUCAGGCAAAGCAUUAAAUAAUUGCCAAAGCCUCCCCCAAGCUUUUGGGAGACUCUCUUCUUUAGUUUGCACAAAGUUAAAUAUUUCCUGUAAAGCAGCUUGUGUCUUAUGAGCAGGAAAAUAUUUUUCAGAGAAGUAAUAGAUCAUAUCCUGGGGACUACGCACACAACCAGGAGCAAGAGUAUUGUACCAAGCUUUAGCAUCACCCUUUAAUGAGAACGGAGAUAAUUUGAGAAUAAGAUAAUAACGAGGCUUCUCAUCAUGAGUAAAAAGGGUGGCUAUGUCAUUCAACUUAGUAAGAUGUGCCACAACAGUUUUAGUUUGAUAACCAUGGAAAGGAUCAGAUUCAACCAAAGUAAUUAACUCUGGGUCGACAGAGAAUUCAUAAUCCUUAUCAUCAAUAAAGAUAAGUGAGGUAGCAAACUUAGGAUCAUAUUGCGUUCUAGCAUUCAAGGAUUUUUCUUUAUACUUGCAUAAUAAUUUCUCUAGAUCAUCUCUAUCCUUACAAGCAAGAAUGUCUCUAGUUGUCUCCUCAUUCAUAACAUAGCCUUCCGGUACCUUAGGCAAUUCAUAUCUAGGAGGGCUAGUUCUAGUAGGUGUUUCAAGAUUUUCAGUUUCAAGCUCAUCAUCAGUUUCAACAACAUCAUGUUGGCUUACUCUAGCAAUUUGUUCAUCAAGAAUUUCACCUAGUGGCACAUCAUCAUCAUCAAGCAAUGUACUAGCACAAUCAUAAGCAUCAUUCAUACCAGAAGUAGCGUCAUCAAUAACUUGCGACAUAUCAGGAUUAAUAGCAUGUGGUGGUGGUGCAAGUUUACUUAUAACAGAAGGUGAAUCUAAAGUAGAGCUAGAUGGCAGUUCCUUACCUCCCCUCGUCUUAGAGGGAUAAAUCUUAGCCUUAGCAUCCUUCAGAUUCUUCAUAGUGAUAAAUUGAUAAUAAUCCCAAGUGACUCAACAAAUAUAGCUAUGCACCCCGGUAACGGCGCCAGAAAAAGGUCUUGAUAACCCACAAUUAUAGGGGGUCGCAACAGUUUUCGAGGGUAGAGUAUUCAACCCAAAUUUAUAUAUUCGACACAAGGGGAGCCAAAGAAUAUUUACAAGUACUAGCAGCUGAGUUGUCAAUUCAACCACACCUGGAGAUUAAUUAUCUGCAGCAAAGUGAUUAGUAGCAAAGUAAUAUGAUAGUUUUGAUAAUAGUGGCAGCAACAAUAGUAACGUUAACAAUGAUAGAAGUAAUUUUGUAGCAAGUGCAAUAGUAAUGAUAGCAGUAGUGACUUAGCAAGAACAAUAUAAGAUAAAUUCGUAGGCAUUGGAUCGGUAAUUUGUUAGAUGAUAUUCAUCAUGUGACAGUCAUAACCUAAAGCGAUACGGCACUAGCUCCAGUUCAUAAAUAUAAUGUAGGCAUGUAUUCCGUAAAUAGUCAUACGUGCUUAUGGAAAGAACUUGCAUGACAUCUUUUUUCCUACCCUCCCAUGGCAGCGGGGUCCAAUUGGAAACUAAGGGAUAUUAAGGUCUCCUUUUAAUAGAGAACUGGAACAAAGCAUUAACACACAGUGAAUACAUGAACUCCUCAAACUAUGGUCAUCACUGGGAGUGGUCCCGACUAUUGUCACUCCGGGGUAGCCGGAUCAUAACACGUAGUAGGUGACUAUAACUUGCAAGAUCGGAUCUAGAACAUAGAUAUAAUGGUGAUAACAUAAAUGGUUCAGAUCUGAAAUCAUGGCACCCGGGCCCAAAGUGACAAGCAUUAAGCAUGGCAAGGUCAUAGCAACAUCAAUCUCAGAACAUAGUGGAUACUAGGGAUCAAGCCCUAACAAAACUAACUCGAUUCCAUGAUGAAUCUCAUCCAACUCCUCACCGACCAGCGAGCCUACGAAGGAAUUACUCACUCCCGGUGGGGAGCAUCAUGGAAUUGGCGAUGGAGAAGGGUUGGUGAUGACGAAGAACGAAGAUCCCCUCUCCGAAGCCCCAAACGGACUCCAGAUCUGGCCUCCCGAUGAAGAACUGGAGGUGGCGGUGGCUCCGUCUCAUGGAACGCGAUAAUUCUUUCUCCCUAAUUUUUUUCUAGAAAAAUAGGAUUUUAUAGCAUCGGUUUCAGGGUCUGCGGGGCCACCAGGUGGGGACAACCCACCUGAGGACGCCUGGGAGGGCAGGCGCGCCCUGGUGGGUUGUGCCCACCCAGGUGCCCCCUCCGGUGGCUCUUGGCUCCAGAAUUCUCUUUAUUGAUAUAAAAACCCUCGCAAAGUUUCGUUCCAUUCCGAGAACUUUUAUUUCUGCACAAAAACAACACCAUGGUAGUUCUGCUGAAAACAACAUCAGUCCGGGGUUAGUUUCAUUCAAAUCAUGCAAAUUAUAGUCCAAACAGAGAGGAAAAGUGUUAGGAAAAGUAGAUACGUUGGAGACGUAUCACCUUGCUCACGUCGUCCCGCCUGCAUUCUCAUCUACAUCCUCCCUAGCUCACCCUCUCUCUCUCUCAUAUCUCUGCCAUGGUGCCGUCGGUCUGCCCAUGCGCCGACGAGGAGUCGCUGCCCCCCGAGGACGCUCACUCGAAGAGCAGCGACGAGGACCCCUACGCGCCACCGGACGAGGUUACGCCGGUGAGGGAGUCCUGGAUUAGGGGGUCCUCGGACGUCUGGGUUGUGUGACAUGGGCCGGACUCAUGGGUCGUGAAGAUACAAGAUGGAAGGCGUUCCCCCGUGUCCGGAUGGGAAUCCCCUUGGCGUGGAAGGCAAGCUUGGCGUUCAGAUAUGAAGAUUCCUUUCUCUGUAAACCGACUCUGUACAACCCUAGCCCCCUCCGGUGUCUAUAUAAACCGGAGGGUUUAGUCCGUAGAGGCAAUCAUAAUCAUACAGGCUAGACACCUAGGGUUUAGCCAUUACGAUCUCGUGGUAGAUCAACCCUUGUAACCCCAAUACUCAUCAAAGUCAAUCAAGCAGGAAGUAGGGUAUUACCUCCAUUAAGGGGGCCCGAACCUUGGUAAACAUUGUGUCCCUUGCCUCCUGUUACCAUCGAUCCUCAGACGCACAGUUCGGGACCCCCUACCCGAGAUCCGCCGGUUUUGACACCGACAUUAGUCCUUUCAUUGAGAGUUCCUCUGUGCUGUCAACAGAAGGUUCGAUGGCCCCGACAAUCAUCUACAACAACACUGCCAUGAGGGAGACUUUUCUCCCCGGCCAAAUUUUUGUAUUCGGCGGCUUCAUGCUGUGCGCCAACUCGAUUGGCCACCUCGAGCAGAUCGAUAGGUACGCCCCUGGUCAUCAGAUCAGUUUUGGGAACCUAAACUACGUCGCCAACAUCCGAGGAGACUUGAUCUUAGAGGGGUUUGCGGCCCCCGUUGCCGCUCCGGCCUUAGAUCCAGAGCGGGUUGUCAGGUCCGAGGACGGGAGUUUAGAGCCCACAGGACUCUUUGCAACUACAGAAUUUGCUACCGGAGAUCCGUAGGGGGCGACGUCAGCGGCAAACCCAAAGACGAACCGAACUCCCCUCAACGCUCAAGCGCCGAACACUCCGCCAGACUCUAAGUCCGAACUCUCAGGGUCCGUGUUAAGUAGGCGUGACCAGGAGGCACCCACCCCGGAUAGCCCCGCGGACUCUCUUUUCUCUGCCCAAACCUCGCCUUUGAACGAGGCUCUGGACAUGAUGUGAUCACUCGCCAUUACGGAAGGAUCGCUUCCGAACUACGCCCAGCCCGGACUAGGGGCUGAGAGCAAGGAAUUUUAUGUCCCACCCACCACCCACUUCAUAGCCACUGUCGAAGACUUAACCGACAUGCUGGACUACGCCUCCGAAGAUAUCGACAGUAUGGACGGCGAUGCCAGAGACGAACAAGGCCCAGACCCUCCGUUUACCGGACGAUGGACGACCACUUCCACAUACGACGUGUACAUGGUAGACACACCCAAGGAGGACGACAACGGCAAGAAGGAUCCGGAUGAGGACAAGCCUGCCGAAGCCCCUCCAAAGCAUCGACGUCAGCGGCGCCGCUCAAAAUCGUGCCGCGACAAGACAGCAAUACCGACACCGGAGACGAUAGCACUCCAGAGAAUGCCGAAGACCCCGAAGCCCCUGCAGAGCCAGCCUCCGAUCAGGACGAUUGGGAGGAGGGGCAAGUUGACCCUGACGAUCCCAUCAAUAACGAGGGCUCAGAGGAUAGUAAUUACCUACCGAUCUCCGAAGAGGACAGGAUCCUCGGAACAAAGACUUCAUCAUGCCAGAGGAACUCCUCGACUAGGAGCGCUUCAAGCGUAGGCUAAUCACCACUGCAAGAAGCCUGAAAAAGAAGAAGCAACAACUUCAAGCUGAUCAAGAUCUGCUCAAUGACAGAUGGUCUAAUGUCCUGGCAGCCGAGGAAUAUGGCCUCGAACACCCAACUAAGAGUUACCCAAAGCGCAAACUGCUACCACAAUUCGACGAUGAGGCGCUGGAGCCUAUACCGCCAACACGUGAUGCUGUUGACAGACCAGACCAACCACCACAUGGAGGGGAGGGUGACAGCUCAAGCCCAACACCAGCCCGCACCGCCGCGCGGUAGAGGCAGAGAAACAGCAUACACCUACGACCUACGACAGGACCUGGACAAUAGAGCCGGUCAGACUAGAUCAAUGUACGGAUCAAGGGGGCGUGCCCCAGCACAAGAGGACGACCAUCAGGCCUGGCGCGACAAGCACAACCUCACCCGCGCAGAAAAUCGCAUACGGACCUCAUCCGAGCUGCGUCGAGACGUUGCCUGAUACAGAGGCACUGCACACCCCCUAUGCUUCACCGAUGAGGUAAUGGAACACCAGUUCCCAGAAGGGUUUAAACCCGUCAACAUCGAAUCAUACGAUGGCACAAUAGAUCCCGCCGUGUGGAUCGAGGAUUUUCUUCUCCACAUUCACAUGGCUCGCGGUGAUGAUCUACACAGCAUCAAAUACCUCCCCCUAAAACUUAAGGGGCCAGCUCGGCACUGGUUGAAUAGCCUCCCAGAAAAUUCUAUAGGAAGCUGGGUAGACUUGGAAGACGCCUUUAGAGACAACUUCCAAGGCACGUACAUCCAGCCACCAGACGUUGAUGACCUCAGUCACAUAGUCUAGCAGCUCGGAGAGUCGGCCAGGAAAUUCUGGACCAGGUUCCUAAUUAAAAAGAACCAGAUUGUCGACUGUCCGGACGCCUAAGCCCUAGCGGCCUUCAAGCAUAGCAUCCGCGACGAAUGGCUUGCCCGACACCUCAGCCAAGAAAAGCCGAAGUCCAUGGCAGCCCCUACAGCACUAAUGACCCGCUUUUGCACGCGCGAAGAUAGCUUGCUAGCCCGUAGCAGCAACAGUACCAGCGACCCCGGCACUUCCGAAGCCAGAAACGGCAACGGAAGGCGCCGACGCAACAAACAUAAGCGUCAGAGCAACAAUAUAAUGCAGAGAAUAUGACGGUCAACGCUGGAUUCAGUGGCUCCAAAUCCGGUCAAUGAAGGAAGCCAUUCAAAAGAAACAAAGAUGGUUCAUCAAGCCUGGACCGAAUACUUGAUCGACCUUCCUAGAUCCACGACACUCCUGACAAGCCUGCCAACCACACCAACAAAAGUUAUUGGGUCUUCAAAGAGGCCGGCAAGUUGAAUGCCAAACACAAGGAGAAAGGGUUGCCCGACGAGGAUGACGAUGAGGAACCUCACGCACCGAACACGGGGGGACAGAAGAAAUUCCCCCCCCCCAGGUUAAAAUGGUGUGUAUGAUAUACAUUACUCACAUCCCCAAGCGGGAGCGCAAGCGCGCGUUAAGGGACGUCUACACGAUCGAGCCAGUCGCCCCAAAUUCAACCCAUGGUCAGCCUGUCCAAUCACUUUCGAUUCGUAGAGACCACCCAACUAGUAUCCGUCAUGGAGGCUCGGCCGCGCUAGUCCUUGAUCCAAUUAUUGAUGGAUUCCACCUCACGCGAGUCCUCAUGGACGGCGGAGCAGCCUUAACCUGCUCUAUCAGGACACAGUCCGCAAAAUGGGUAUUGAUCCUUCAAGAAUCAGGCCCACAAAAACCACCUUUAAGGGAGUAAUACCCGGUGUAGAGGCCUGCUGCACGGGCUCAAUCACAUUGGAGGUUGUCUUCGGUUCGCCGGACAACUUUCAAGCGAAGACUUAAUCGACAUCGUCCCCUUCCGCAGUGGUUACCACGCACUACUCGGACGAACCGCGUUCGCUCGCUUCAACGCGGUCCCACAUUAUGCCUAUCUCAAACUCAAGAUGCCCGGACCGCUGGCAGUCAAUGGAAACGUGGAGUGGUCCCUCCGUACUGAGGAGCACACUGCGGCCCUGGCAGCGGAAGUACAGAGCGGCCUUAUCAUACCGAAUACUAAAUCGGCAGUCAAGCCCCAGACACUAUCAAACGAGUUCAGACUACCCCUCAGCAUGAUAGUCCAGCCAUCAGGAGCUCGACUAGCAAUUUGGCCUCCAUCGCAACCCCAACCGAAUUACGACAUACAUACCACGCGUACAUCACUACACGCUAAAGAUACCAUGGGCAACGAUGGAGGCAUAGUAAAGAUAUAGUUGAGAAUAUUGCUCGACCCUAUCUGCACCCUGAUAUUUCUUUUCCUCUUAUUUUUUAUUUUUCCAGGUUCCUUACAACCCACGUCAUCUUUCAGCGGUACCAAGGGCCCUUUUUCUAAGCCCGUCAUGAAAACCCGAUCAUUGAUCCUUUCGAAGGAUAAUACGCUAAGGGGAAAGGCAAUGUAGCUAUGUGGCAGAGUAUCUAAAGGAUAUUUAAAGAUCGCCGCUUUCUUCUUUAGGACCCAUACACAGAUUUCCCUUGUGCUCGUCAUGUAAAAUAGCCUCGAUGCUUAUCGAGUUAUUUGUAAAAAUACGUUUUGACGUAUCAAUCAGACUAUAAUGGAAACAGUUUUUCACCCAACCUACUCGGUGCUGCCUUAUUCCUUAAUUUGUAUUCCCUCUUCUUCGUCCUGUUGCCAUGUACACCUCGGCUCGACUUAAAUCACCAGGGGCUCCAUUUGGCCACGUACAUUGCUUCAAUAAAUAAUAGUAAGUCCGAACACUUUUAUAGUACAAUUCGGCAUCACAAAUUAAGCAUUAUAUGCAUUGGCUCCGAAUCAUGUCUUUGGUCAAUAGUUGGGUUGCCCGGCUCCUGUGGUUAUUGCCUUACGUUCCGCUUGUUUGGCUAGAGCAGUAAAGGGAGAACUACUACGAUUGUGUUUCCGGCUCAUCCGGAUAAACACCUCAGUAGAGAAAGCCAAAAACUGACUGUCAUGGUGUUCCGCAUUGCGCGAAGGACCGGUCUUCGCCUGGUCAGACAUGCACAGCACCCAAGUUCAGAUAAUUGAAACACACCAGGGGCUGCGCCUACAACCUCAUUUGUCAAACUCUUAUGGCUAACUGAGAGCGAUAAAGCCAAAUAGUCUGAUUGCUUGGUUCGCCGCACUAACACCUCCUUCAAGGACCAAAUCUAAUGGGUCAAGUGUGUUUAGGUGCUGUUCUGAACACCCCCGUACUACCUACGUGGGGGCUGAAGCCGACGAUUGGCCAACUCUCAGAUAUCAUAAACGGACGCACACGAGGAAAAAUUUGAGGUAAGACAAGCAACAUAUUAUACAUAAGCCUUGUUUCGUAAUACAUAGUUUGUACAGUCAAGUUACAUUCAUUCAAAAAUAAUGUCCUUCGAGCACUGGCCCUCUACAAUGCGAGAUCCUUUGAGGACGUUGUCAAAAUACCGCUCCGGCGUGCGGUGUUCCUUGCCGGCGGGCGGUCCCUUGGUUGCAAGCUUGACGGAGUUCAUCUUCGCCCACUGUACCUUGACACGGGAAAAGGCCAUCCGUGCACGUUCGAUAUAGACCGAUUGCUUCACGGCAUCAAGCUGAAGGCAGGCACUGACCAGCCGCUUCACGAGGCCGAAGUAGCUACUGGGCAUGGGUUCGGCGGGCCAAAGACGGAUUAUAAAAUCCCUCAUGGCCAAUUCGGCUACCCUAUGCAGUUCGGUCAACUGCUUCAGCUGAUCGCUGAGAGGCACGGGAUGCUCUGGCGCAAGGUACUGCGACCAGAACAGCUUCUCCGUUGAGCUCCCCUCUUCGGCUCGGAAGAACUCCGCAGCAUCAGCAAUACCCCAGAGCAGGUCCGCAAACGCUCCUGGAGAACUCCAAAUCUGGGUUAGCAAUAUAUACUUUUUUCUCACGAAUUUUCUCUGCAUGUUAAAGGCCUUACCCGCCGCAAUCUGCUCUGCCUCCUGGAUCUCCCGGAUAGCGCUUUGGGCUUCGGCCCAGGCAUCCUGUGCACUUUGCAGUGCCUUAGCAAGUUCAGAAUUUUGCUCCGAAAUCUUGCACUCUAAGGACUUACAUUUGCCUAUGGCAUCCUUGAGCUCUUGCUGGACUUCCUCCACCCGUGAUUCAUGUUUCAGGCGGGAGGCUCAUUCCUCCUCCGCCUCUUUCUUGGCUUCGGCCAGUGCACUCUCGAGGGUCUCGACCUCCGCCGCGUCAGCUAUGAGCAUUAUUACAAAAGCUCAUUCAGAUAACAAUUCAGAGCUGAUCUCAUUUCAGACAUGUUUUCGAUGUCACAUACCUUGUUUUUCCUCUAACUUCCUCCUGAGCUCGGACGCUUCACCGGCAUGGGAAGCCGAUGCCUGCAUCACAGCCUGUUUUUCAAAUAGAUAUGUAUGUGAAUCUCAUGGGUGAAUUAUUAGAUCCUAUGUCCGGCUUAUCUUUACGAACACCGAACAGAGUCUCAGGGGCUACUAUCUAUACACAGGCAUUCCUCUUAUACAUAGCUAAAAAGCAUUAUUUCACAUACCUCAAAGCCUCACAGAAGGCUAGUGUAGGCUUCGUUCAAUCCGCUUUUCGCGGACUAAACCUUUUCAAUCACCGUACCCAUAAGAGUACGAUGUUCUUUCACAAUGGUGGCGCUCUGAAGCGCUCCCACCAGAGUGUCUGGCGCCUCCGAAUUGACAGAGGUCGCCGGUGGGGUGGGCGCGCCCCCUUCUUUCGAAGGAGGCUGCUCAUCUGACUCCGGAGCCGUGUGGGUCUCCGGGAUGACAUUUGGUUGGGGGCCAAAUUGGACAUGGCCCCCGUCUCCUGUCUCCAUGGGGGUCGGUUCCCCCAUGUUCUCGGCAGUAGGGGUAUCACCCUUUGGCGCCGUCUUGGCAGCCUCCUACACCUCUCCCUAUCCCGGAAGGGUCCUUCGGGACAACACCUCGGUGUUAUCCGCAGCACUGGGGGAGGAGGCUGGUGGAGGCGACUCGCUCUCCAUCAUGUUCGGAUCCAGCGAGUUCCCAGAAGAUGAAGAUCGCUGGGGGAGGUCAUGAUCCGGACUACAGCACACAAUUUAGUGUAUUACAACCUGAUACGUCUCCAACGUAUCUAUAAUUUUUUAUUGUUCCAUGCUAUAUUAUAUUCUGUUUUGGACAUUAAUGGGCUUUAUUAUACACUUUUAUAUUAUUUUUGGGACUAACCUAUUAACCGGAGGCCCAGCCCAGAAUUGUUGUUUUUUUGCCUAUUUCAGAGUUUCGCAGAAAAAGAAUAUCAAACAGAGUCCAAACGGAAUGAAACCUUCGGGAACAUGAUUUUUGGAACGAACAUGAUCCAGAGGACUUGGACCCUACGUCAAGACAUCAACCAGGAAGGCACGAGGUAGGGGGGCGCGCCUACCCCCCCUGGGCGCGCCCUCCACCCUCAUGGGCCCCACGUUGCUCCACCGACGUACUUCUUCUUCCUAUAUAUACCUACGUACCCCCAAACCACCAGAUACGGAGCCAAAAACCUAAUUCCACCGCCGCAACCUUCUGUACCCGUGAGAUCCCAUCUUGAGGCCUUUUCCGGAGCUCCGCCGGAGGGGGCAUCGAUCACGGAGGGCUUCUACAUCAAUACCAAAGCCUCUCCGAUGAUGUGUGAGUAGUUUACCUCAGACCUUCGGGUCCAUAGUUAUUAUCUAGAUGGCUUCUUCUCUCUUUUUGGAUCUCAAUACAAUGUUCUCCCCCUCUCUUGUGGAGAUCUAUUCGAUGUAAUCUUCUUUUGCGGUGUGUUUGUUGAGACCGAUGAAUUGUGGGUUUAUGAUCAAGUUUAUCUAUGAACAAUAUUUGAAUCUUCUCUGAAUUCUUUUAUGUAUGAUUGGUUAUCUUUGCAAGUCUCUUCGAAUUAUCAGUUUGGUUUGGACUACUAGAUUGAUCUUUCUUGCAAUGGGAUAAGUGCUUAGCUUUGGGUUCAAUCUUGUGGUGUCCUUUCCCAGUGACAGUAGGGGCAGCAAGGCACGUAUUGUAUUGUUGCCAUCGAGGAUAACAAGAUGGAGUUUAUAUCAUAUUGCAUGAUUUUAUCCCUCUACAUCAUGUCAUCUUACUUAAAGCGUUACUCUGUUCUUAUGAACUUAAUACUCUAGAUGCAUGCUGGAUAGCGGUCGAUGUGUGGAGUAAUAGUAGUAGAUGCAGGCAGGAGUCGGUCUACUUGUCUCGGACGUGAUGCCUAUAUACAUGAUCAUACCUAGAUAUUCUCAUAACUAUGCUCAAUUCUGUCAAUUGCUCAACAGUAAUUUGUUCACCCACCGUAAUACUUAUGCUCUUGAGAGAAGCCACUAGUGAAACCUAUUGCCCCCGGGACUAUUUUCCAUCAUAUUUAAUCUCCCGACAACAAGCUAUUUCUGGCGCCUUUUUUUUUGCUUUCUUUACUUUGCAUCUUUAUCAUGAAAAUACCAAAAAUAUUAUCUUACCAUAUCUAUCAGAUCUCACUCUCGUAAGUGACCGUGAAGGGAUUGACAACCCCUUUAUUGCGUUGGUUGCGAGGAUUUAUUUGUUUGUGUAGGUGUGAGGGACUCGUGCGUGGCCUCCUACUGGAUUGAUACCUUGGUUCUCAAAAACUGAGGGAAAUACUUACGCUACUUUGCUGCAUCACCUUUCCUCUUCAAGGGAAAACCAACGCAGUGCUCAAGAGGUAGUACAACCACAAGACAAAAAGCCGAAUAUAUAUAUAUAUAUAUAUACACCUUUGAGUACUUACAAUCCGGCCAGGGGCGCCUCUUGUCGGUGUCCGACUCGGAAUCAUUCGUAAGGGAGGUUCUCCCUUUCUUGGACGCUUCCGCCUCUAGAUCAGCGGAAGCUGCCCUCUUCUUCUUCUCCCCCUUAGGGGGGGAUUGCUCUCUUCCUCCUCCUCUUCCUCUUCGUCAGGGGAGGAGAGAGUUUUGGUGUCUUCGGAAACUACGUCCGAAACACCUUUACGGCGGAGGCCACUCUUGGCCUCCUUGCCCUUCUUCUUGGCCUUCUUUUCCGGCGCCUGGUAUGGUGCCGGGACCGGCAUCCCCGUCAACAGAGGAAUAGCUGGGUCUUCGGGCAGCGCAGCCGGACAAUGAAUCCGUUCCGCUUUCUUCGUCCAGCCCUGCAGGGAGAAUGGGAAGUUUAGUAUGCUCCUUGGACCUACAAAUUAAGGUUAUCAAAGAACUUACGGGGGUCGCGGCAUGGGUGCAGUCAUAGCCGAGGUCUUCGGUUGUCUCCGGCCACAACUUUUGGGUCUUGAAAAGCAGCAUCCACAUGUCUUCGUGCUUCGUGCCGAAGAACCGCUGCAGGGUCCGGGGACCGGCCGGGUUAAACUCCCACAUAUACUCUUGACAUGCCUGACAGGGGAGAAUCCGGCGGAAGAGCAUCAGCUGGAUCACACUGGCAAGACUGGUAUUCUUGUCUACCAUGCUCUUGACACGCCUCUGUAGAGUCAUCACCUCGUCGGACGACGCCCAGUCCAGGCCCUUGUUGAGCCAGGAUGUCAGCCGCAUUGGAGGCCCGGACUUGAAUUCGGAAGGAGCGGCCCAUGUGGAGUCACGAGGUUCCAUGACCUAGAACCACUCCUGCUGCCAUCCCUUCACGGUCUCCACGAAGGUGCCCUUGGGCCAGGUAACGUUGGGAAGCUUGCGCACCAUUGCGCCUCUGCAAUCCGCGUGCUGACCAUCCACCACUUUCAGCUUCACAUUGAAGACCUUGAACCAUAGGCCGAAGUGGGGGGAAUGCGAAGAAAUGCCUCGCAUACGACGAUAAAUGCCGAAAUGUUGAGAAAGGAAUUCGGGGCUAGAUCAUGGAAAUCUAACCCGUAGUAAAACAGGAGGCCGCGGACGAAAGGAUGAAGGGGAAACCCCAGUCCGCGAAGGAAAUGGAGGAUGAAUACUACCCUCUCAUUGGGAUUUGGUGUGGGGAUGAUCUGCUUUUUGGCCGGAAGCCGGUGGGCGAUUUCCUUGGCCAGGUACCCCGCUUCCCGGAGUUCCUUGAUGUUUCCCUCCGUGACGGAGGAAGCCAUCCACUUGCCCCGCGCUCCGGAUCUGGACAUGGCUGGAGUACUUUAUGGGAACGGAGAAGAUUGAAGCUUGGGUACUGGAGCUUGAGGGCGGAUGGGCUGAGGAAGAGGAAGGCGUGGGGUGACAAGGGGGAACCUUAUCUCCUUAUAAAGGUAGUGAAUAUCAUGCGCCCCCCACGAGCCUUAAAGCUCACCUAUUCCCAAGGGGUUGUGCAAAAUGGCAUGGUUGGGUUUCCCAAACCCGUAUUGAUGAGAAUCCCAUAAUAAGGGGCACAAUCUCUACUUUGAAAAGACGUGUCGCCGGAGGUUGCGUCUCGAAACGCGAGACGAGAGGCCGAAAAACGAUUCGAAAUAAUAAAGUGGCCGGACAUAACGUCUCACCAGUAAAAUUGUCAGAAGACAGAACUUAUUUUUGCUUAAGUAUUUUUGCCCUUGUGAUUCAGGGUUGUGACUAUUGUACAGAGCCGGAUAUAGUACUGGUGAUCAACUACUUUGAGGUGUGCGGAGGAGGAACCCGCCUUGCAAUGCCGAAGACAAUCUACGCAUCGGACAUAUCAUCAUUGAAGCUUGGUUCAGGGGCUACUGAGGGAGUCCUGGAUUAGGGGGUCCUCGGACGUCCGAGUUGUGUGACCUGGGCCGGACUCAUGCUGCCAUGGUGCCGUCGGUCUGCCCAUGCGCCGAUGAGGAGUCGCUGCCCCCCGAGGACGCUCACUCGAAGAGCAGCGACGAGGACCCCUACGCGCCACCGGACGAGGUUACGCCGGUGAGGGAGUCCUGGAUUAGGGGGUCCUCGGACGUCCGGGUUGUGUGACAUGGGCCGGACUCGUGGGUCGUGAAGAUACAAGAUGGAAGGCAUUCCCCCGUGUCCGGAUGGGACUCCCCUUGGCGUGGAAGGCAAGCUUGGCGUUCGGAUAUGAAGAUUCCUUUCUCUGUAAACCGACUCUGUACAACCCUAGCCCCCUCCAGUGUCUAUAUAAACUGGAGGGUUUAGUCCAUAGAGGCAAUCAUAAUCAUACAGGCUAGAUACCUAGGGUCUAGCCAUUAAGAUCUCGUGGUAGAUCAACUCUUGUAACCCCUAUACUCAUCAAAGUCAAUCAAGCAGGAAGUAGGGUAUUACCUGCAUUAAGAGGGCCCGAACCUGGCUAACAAUUGUGUCCCUUGCCUCCUGUUACCAUCGAUCUCAGACGCACAGUUCGGGACCCCCUACCCGAGAUCCGCCGGUUUUGACACCGACAGCCGGACCUCCCAACUUUGGAUUGGUUUUGGGGCCAGUACAAUCUUUGUUUGUGGAAGUCGUUACCACCGGUUGAGAUAGCCAGGCAAGUGGCGUUCAAGAAGGAGAUGGCGGAGGAGGAAGCUAGGUACCAGGCGGCCUGUGAAGCCCGUGAUGCCUCCUGGAAAAAGGACGCGGUGGAGCUUUGGGGGUGAGCGCAUCGUCGUGCAGAGGAGGUGUACGAAGACGGGUACUUCGCGAGGAAGGUCAAAGGUGCUAGGCACCUCAUCACUGCGUGGAGGUGGGCCGAUAAGCUCCAGCUGCCACCACUGAGGAGCUCCAGUGGGCACCCAACAAAAUGGCAAGAUCAUUCGCGCUCGUACGCCAGCAAGAGGCAGAUCGGUACGUCAAGCGCUGCGAGGCGGAGAAGGCGGAGUACUGCCUACGCUCUGGGAAGACGCCGUGCACCAGGGAGCUGCUGGCGAGGGGCUGCCGGAAUACUACCCCCAGGAGGGAUUAUUAGUUUUAGUAUUGUUCCAUUUUCAAUUUUAUGCAUUCUACCUAGUAGUUAAGUAUCAUCACGUAUAUGUGAUGAUAUUAUAUAUAUUCUAUGAUGAACUAAUGAACAAUUAAUAUAUAUAUAUAUAUAUAUAUUAUGAAUUCCAUUUUCUAUCUGUUUUUGUAUACUAAUUUGAAAUCUAGUUGUUAUCAUCCACAUAUACAGAAUGGAAAGCGUAUACACACACAUUGAAACAGAACAUAUAAGAACGAAAAACAGAGUACACACAUUGAAACAGGGCAAUACUAUGAUUGCUGUGAAUACAUAGCUAUCCACGUCGAAAUGACUCAACAAAAUAAAACGCAUCCAUGAGACCAUGACCAGCAGCCCUUGCCUACGGUAGUUCUUGGCUCUGCAUGAACUGGUGCAGGCGUUCGUCCAAGCGGUCGACACGCUCGCGGUACAUCUGGAGCGCGAUCUCGAGCUCCAAGUUGGCUAUUUCAUCAGAGAUCACCAGCUCGAGGAUGCGACGGCCAAGUUCCUCUACUACGCCCAGGUGGACACCUGGGCAAAGGAGGCGGUCGAGCCUACCGACCAGCGCGUUGGCAUCGAGCGGGCCACGGACAAGGCGAAUGGCGCGACCCAUGCGAACGGCGUGGCAGGCGUCCGGUGCAAGUACGGCGUGACCGUCCUCUGGUGCAAGUACAACGCAGAGGGCCUCUGCCCACUCCUGGCGAGGAAUGGGGGUACGUGUACCCAGUUACAAUGCCCUGUUGACAGCAGGCAAGCGCCGAUGGAUCCGCUCUUGCUGUGCGGCGAGCCGCGCCCCUUGCUCUGCGGUGCUCCAACGGUCUCGCCGUGCGGCGAGCCGCAGCCUAUCGGCACAGAUGCGCCUAGCUUGCUCUGCGGCGUGCCAUCGAUCAUGUUGUGCGGCAAGCUGCAACCUCUCGACGCUGACAUGCCUAUCUUGAUCCGCGGCGUUGAAGCGCCAUGCGCCAAGGGUCUGCUCAACCCUUGCGAUGACGUGCAUCACGACGUCGUCCAUCGCGUUGUCGGGGAGCGCCUCGGCCUCGACGGGCCAUUGCGCCUGCUUAUUUUCCUCGUUGACGAGGUUGAUGGCAGAGGCGGCGCUUUGGUGGGUUGGCAUGCUUGGAAAAGGUGGAUGUGCUAUAGGCUGCGCUUGUUGCCUCCGUGCGUCGCGCACCGCCUAGGUUUAUGCGCAAUAUCGCUGGGUGGCAGGAAACCGGUGAGGAAAUGGCGGGAAACGGUGGCGUGUUCAUAAAAUGCCAUCAAUUAAUGGAAACUUAGCAUAGAAGGAACAUCGAGCUAGCACAAGAAGUAGAUGAUGGUCAGAUGAUCGUUUAUCCUAGUUAAUUAUGCAUGUAAUCAUUUACUUUGGUGUGUGGACACGUCAUGUGUGUACUAGACACCUAUGUAGGAUGUUUGCCGCGUAUUACACACAUCUUGUUUAUGUGAAACAUUUCUGUUCUCUUGGCUCAACACAAACAGUUUAUCAGAAUGAACUGUGUGCCCUCCAUUGCACACACCUUGAUCUGGCUGAAUCAUUUCUGUUGCGUUGCCUAAUCAAAAAAAGUUCAUCCGAGUGAACCGUAUGCCGUAUAUCGCACACACCUUGAUCUGGCCGACCGUUGCUUUUGUGUUGCCUAAUCACAAACAGUUCAUCCGAGUGAACUGUAUGCCGUAUAUCGCACACGCCUUCAUCUAGCUACCCGUUUCUUUUGUUCUUCCACAUCGCAAACAGUUAAUUGAACUGAACCAUAUGCCCCUCAUCGCACACGCAACUAAAAUUUGAACCGUGCUUGAUGCAUCCUUCAUCGCAAAAGUUUUGCAUCUUUUUUGACGUUUUUUACAUCACCGUUUGUGAUUAAUGCAUCGCACACAGUUUCGUCAAAGGGUCUCUGAUCGUAGUGUCGCGUUAGCAGCAUCCUGCAGUAGUGUAUCUUCUUUUCAUCAAGAUAAGAAUAUUUCAAUGUAUCGGGUAAUUGUUUAAGCUCAAACACAAGAUCACUCUUGGGUGGAAGAGGAUCUCCAGGAGUUUCAACAGGUAAAUUGUGUUUCAAAUUAGGCAUUUAUUCAAAGAAUAUCUCAUCUAUUUUGUUUCUUUCAUUCAUAUGCAUAUCAUUUUCAUGGUCUAGCAAAUAUUGUUCUAAAGGAUCGGUAGGAGGCACGACAAUAGAAGCAAGACCAAUAAUUUCAUCUUUACUAGGUAAUUCCUUAUUAUGAGGUUGUCUACGGAAUUUGGAGAAAUUAAACUCAUGAGACACAUCAUCAAAAUUCACACUAACAGUUUCCUUAGUGCAAUCUAUCUUAUCAUUAACUGUAUUAAGGAAAGGUCUACCAAAUAUAAUGGGACAAAAAUCAUCCUGUGGAGAACCAAGAACUAAAAAAUCAGUAGAGUAUUUUAUCUUUCCACAAAAGACUUCAACAUCUCUAACAAUCCCAAGUGGUGUGAUAGUAUCUCCAUUGGCAAGCUUAAUAGUAACAUCAAUGUCUUCUAUCUCAGCAGGUGCAAUAUCAUUCAUAAUUUCUUGAUAUAAAGUAAACGGGAUUGCACUCACACUAACACCCAAAUCACAUAAGCCAUGAUAACAAUGUCUACUAUUUUAACAGAGACAACAGGUUUAUGUUUAUCUUAUUCAUCGGGUUUAGCAAUUCUAGUAGCUUCAUCACGGAAAUAAAUAACACGCACAUCAAUAUUUUCAGCCAAGAGAUCAUAACCAUAGCAACAUUAGGUUCAACUUUAAUUUGUUCAGAGGGUGUAGGUGUUCUUGUUUAACUUUUGCGAACCAUAGCUGAAGCUUUAGCAUGUUCUUUUAUCCUAACAGGAAAAGGUGGUUUCUCAAUGUAAGCAGUAGGAAUAACUGGAUCAACAUAAGUAGUAGUUUCUUCCCUAGCUUCAGCUGGUUCUACUAUUUUUUACUUCAACGGGAGGAUGAUAUAUAAACCACUUCUCCUUAGGGAGAUCAACAUGAGUAGCAAAUGAUUCACAGAAAGAAGUUACUAUCUCAGAGUAUUUAGUGCUAAAAUUCUGAAAAGCAUCGGUACCAUAAAAGUUUUAACACAAUCAAAUUCAAGCUUUAUACCUAACUCAUUACCUUCGUCGAGCUCCCAAUCUUCAAAGUUGCAUUUAAUUCUUUCCAAGAGAUCCCAUUUGAAUUCAAUAGUCUUCUUCAUUAAAAGAACCAGUACAAGAAGUAUCGAGCAUGGAUUGAUCAUUACAAGAAAGCCAAGCAUAAAAAUUCUGAAUAAUAAUUUAUCUUGAGAGCUCAUGAUUGGGGCAUGAAUAUAACAUUGACUUAAGCCUCCCCCAAGAUUGAGCGAUUCUUUCUCCUUCACGAGGCCAAAAAUUAUAUAUAUAAUUUCGAUCAUGAGGAAGUAGAUGCAUAGGAUAAAACUUCUGAUGAAAUUCCAGUUUCAAUCGAUUGUAAUUCCAAGCUCCAAUAUCAUCACAUAGCAUGUACCAUGUCAAUGCCUUUCCCUUCAAAGAUAAAGGGGAGACCUUCUUCUUGACCUCAUCUCCGGGUAAACCUGCAAGCUUAAAUAAUCCACAAACUUCAUCCACAUAGAUUAAUUGCAUAUCAGGAUGUAGUGUUCCAUCUCCUGCAUAAGGAUUAGCCAGCAGUUUCUCUAUCAUACCUGAAGGAAUUUCAUAAUAAAUAUUCUCAGCAGGUGUAGUAGGUUGAGGAGCAACUUUUUGUUCUUCCGGUCGAGGUGAAGAUACCCGAACAAGCCCCUCAAAGGAUGAUUUUCCAUAGUAACAAGUGACAAUAAAUUCCAGCACGUAAUAUAAAUUUUUCCUUACCAAAUUCCACUCACCAAAGGCACUUCACUCCCCGUCAACGGUGCAAGAAAAGAGUCUUGAUGACCCAGAGGUAUAAGGGAUCUAUCGUAGUCCUUUCGAUAAGUAAAAGUGUCAAACCCAACAAGGAGCAGAAGGAAAUGACAAGCGGUUUUCAGCAAGGUAUUAUCUGCAAGCACUGAAAUUAUCAGUAACAGAUAGUUUGGUAGUAAGAUAAUUCAUAAUGGGUAACAAGUAACAAGACUAACAAAGGUACAGCAAGGUGGCCCAAUCCUUGUUGUAGCAACGGAUAAGCCUGGGUGAACUCUUAUAUAAAGCAAAGCGCUCCCAAGGACACAUGGGAAUUAUUGUCAAGCUAGUUUUGAUCAUGCUCAUAUGAUUCGUGAAUAAUAAUAUCUUAUUCUUUCUCAGAAAACAUAAUAAAGUCUUAAGUCCAGUCAAAUUGACUAUCUUUAUUUUCAUGAAAAAAUGGGAUCUAUCAAGCACAUUCAGGAUAUGCCUCUACUAUAAAAUCACUUAGACAUACUUUUGUUCAUCACUUUGAUAAUUUGAUAUGUGGGUGGACAGGUGCUUGUGUGUUGUCCUUACUUGGACAAGCCUCCCACUUAUGAUUAACUCCUCUCGCAAGCAUCCACACCUAUGAAAGAAGAAUAAAGACAAAUCUAACCAUAGCAUGAAACAUGUGGAUCCAAAUCAACCCCUUACGAAGCAACGCAUAAACUAGGGUUUAAGCUUCUGUCACUCUAGCAACUCAUCAUCUAAUUAUUACUUCCCAAUGCCUUCCCCUAGGCCCAAAUCAUGCUGAAGUAUCAUGUAGUCGACGUUCACAUAACACAACAACAUACAUCUCAUCAAAAUAUCGAACGAAUACCAAAUUCACAUGAUUACUUAUAACAAGACUUCUCCCAUGUCCUCAGGAACAAACAUAACUGUCGUGGAAUUGUCACGGCAGAUGUCCUCGUGAAAGGACUUAGUUGUGGAGCCAUCGCAACUAGGAAGCUUAAAGGGGUUAAAGUGGGACAAAGGACACAAGGGUUUAUCCUGGUUCGGCCCCUUGCGGUGAAGGUAAAAACCUAAUCCAGUUGAGGUGGAAUUGCUAGGGUUUCGAUUACUAGGGAGCAAAUCUGCUAUGCCCGGUUCUCGAUUUGAUGUUACUUGCCCUAAGCCGCCGGCGGGUCGUCCCCUUAUAUACACGGGUUGACGCCCCGCGGCCUACAGAGUCCUGGCCGGCUCAUAAACAGCGUCUGGCUCGGUGACUAGUUAAUCUUGCCUUACAACACAAGUCAUGCCAUUACGGCGGUUUUAUCACUACGGGCCUUAAGUCGCCUGCGGGCUUUAGGCCCUUUAUUGAACCGCCAUCUUCAAGCUUGAUAUUGGGCUUCAUAUGAUGAAUCGCCAUAGCGUAACCCGACCCCUCCUGAGCGGGUUACACUAGUAGUUAUAGCCCCAACAUUAGGCCCCAGAUUGAUUUGAACCGGUUCAUGUCAAUCUUCAAUACCUUAAGAAAAAGCCUUCUGUCUUCUGUCUGUGCAAAAGUUAUAACCUGCCAUGAUGUCAUCUUCUGGAUUCAUGAUAACCCGCCAUGACGUCAUCUUCCAUUAAAUUCAUAUUUUAUUCUUUCAUAUCCCGAUGGAUCCUUAUCUUAAUGACCAUCCCAAAAAUCGAGGCGUCAGAGUAGCUGGAUAACCAUGUUUGGCCUCCUCGUUUCUCGUGCCCUCUCUGUCAGUCUUUUCCUUAUAAAUAAGCACGACCUUUAGGUCUUUCUUCAUUCUCCCCCUUUCUGUCGUCUUCUUCCUCUUGCGACUCCGCUGCUGCUCGAGCUCCGCCGCCGCCGCCGCCGCAGAGCACCUCAUCUUCAUCGAUCUUAGCCGCUACAUCAACCUGAAUCGACCAGAGAACGGCGACGAUCCUCCGUAGUAGAUCUACAGCUGUAAGUCUUCACCUUCCCGCACUUCAGAUCUACAUUUAGGGUUUUCAAGUUCUUCCGUGUUCUUCAUGGUUCUUCAUCGUUUCUUCGCGGUUCCUCCACCGCAGCUUCUUCUGAUCCAAAAAGAACAUAUAACUUGUGCGGUAACCGUUUUGCAUCCAUUUCAGAUGCUAGUAGAUUCCUUUCUCUAGUUCAGAGGCCUCAUUAGAACUCUCAAACUCAUCUGUACCAGUUUUUAGGUCUAGAAUAUUUUCUUUUCUGAACGAUCGUUUGAUCCAAAAUAACAGCUGCAACCUGCGAAACUUGUUUGUGCGACACUUAGGCAGAAAAAACUAUAUCUGUUAGCCAUGGCGACUCUUAUCGCCGGCUUAAAAAGGCAAUGCUCAAUCAAUAAUCCUGACCACUCACAGUGGUUUUAAAUAACUUAACUACUUAUGAUGCCCAUGGCGCUUGAAUAAUCUGACACAAUUAGCCAUAUGUCAUUAGGCCCCUUCGUAAGCCGCCAUCUUGAAUAUGAAUUGAAAUAUUUUCUCCGGCUUAAAUUUGAGCCGGAAAUUUUUACAUUGUCAUAGGCUUCCAUCUUCAUAAUGCCGCCCAAGGCUCCCAAAGCACCCGUCACAUGCAACUGGGUUAGAUCCAUCGUCACUGAUAACACCUUGAACGAGUUUGUGAAGACUGGUUAUCUGCCGAAGAAGGAGGUCAUGUCCUAUCGUGCUCCUGAUCCGACAGAAGAAAAACCUCAACCCAAGGAUGGGGAAGUUGUCGUUUUUACUGAUCACAUGAACCGGGGCUUUGCUCCACCCGGCUCAAAAAAUUUCAGAGACUUCUUGCACUUUUUUGACCUGCGACCUCAAGACAUCGGACCUAGUUCCGUGUCAAAUAUCUGCAAUUUUCAAGUGUUCUGUGAGGUGUACCUUGAGAAGAACCCAGCUUGCUACUCUUUAGAGAGUUAUUUUAUCUGAACCGUCGAAACGAACGUGCCAAUGGGCCCAGCUUGGAGCUUGGAGGAAUCUCAAUCCAGCGACGGAGAGACUGUCACUUCCCGUAUGCCGAACCGCCAAGUCACCCUAAAGAUUGGAACCAAACAUGGUUCUAUUAUCAAGACACUUCUCCGGCUAAUGAGAACCCUCUGCCCGGCUUUCGCGCCCUACGCCUGGAGUCAACUCACCCCUUGUCAGAUAAACUGUCUCCGGCUGAACGUCAAACACUUGCCCCCACCAUAAGCAAGGUCAAAGCUCUUCUGGGGAACGGCCUAAACGGCAUUGAUCUGGUCCGGGUUUGGCUUGCCUGGCGGGUUAUUCCUUUGAGCCGCCGCCCCGGCUUGGUGUGCGAUUACACAGGCCAAAAGAAUGAUCCUCUACGGCACAGCCCUAAUGACUUACCUGAGGACGUUGUUGAUGAUAUGAACAAGUCUCUUCUGAAUGAGAGCCUGGCAGAUUGUAGGAAAGUAGGCUUAAGUCCCUUCUGCAAAGCUAACCCGGCUCCAGCGGUAAGCUAUUGACUUGAGCAUUUUUACCUUCAACUUUAACAAUUUCGUCUUUACUCAAAAACCUUUGUUAUAAUUCACAGGCUGAUGACGAAUUUUGGAAGGUCAAGUAUGACCAUGAGGUUGCCAAGAAAGCCAGAAAAACUAAGAAAGCCGCCAGGAAAGCUGCUGCCCGAAAGAAGGGGAACAAACCUAGCGCCUCGGAUAUGCUUCAUCUGGAGGAUACCUCCGAGUUAGAGGUAGCUCUUGACUCUUUAGGCUCCUUUUUUAACCAUCUUAUUGACACUGAUUAUCAUCGGGAGGGUACAGCAGUGAGUCAUCUAGCGAUUGAAGAGGUAACUAUAAUUUCCUCCGACUCCGAGCCUUUGCCGAGAGAGAAAGUCCGAAGAGUAACCCGGAAAGUAAGAUUUUCACAUCCUUUAGCUUACCAAGAUCCUCAAUUUAUUUUGAAGCGUCCGACUCCGAGCCUUUGCCGAGAGAGAAAGUCCGAAGAGUAACCCGGAAAGUAAGAUUUUCACAUCCUUUAGCUUACCAAGAUCCUCAAUUUAUUUUGAAGCGACAGAUUCACGAGAGCCGGAGGCAGACCCGGACCAGUAAAGAUGCGGAACUCUCCUCCGGCUUACCCAAUGUAACAAGAAAACGCCGGACUGAGGUUAUCUCCGAUUUACAUUCUUUGUAUCCUUUGGCGGGUUUCACUCGCCAACCACUCAAUUCUUCUGACUCAAACUAUCAGGGAACUUCACCUUCCUCCGGCGAAUCAAUGCAGUCUAAUAUGCUGGCUUUCAAAACCGCUCCAUGGUAAUGAUAAUAUGUUUAUCUUGUGCUUAUCUUACUCAUGUUUUUGCACUAACCUUUUGAUUUUUACACAGCGUACAAGUAAAGCCAGCAAGAGGGCGAAGAAGAAUAAGCCGGCCGAAGAGCCGAUCUUGACUGAACCGGAGCUCAGAACAGCUGCUCCUGAUACCUCCGCUCAUGAGCCGCCAUCUGAACCAGCCCACAAUAUUCCAAUGCCUACUGCUGAUCCGCCUGUCGAGCAAGCCAUUGACGAUUCUGAGAACCCGGAGAUCCCUAGCCCGGCCAAGGCGGAUGACCCGGACGUCGAAAUCAUCAAAACUGACUUUGUUGAGCCGGGGAGACCCACCGUGCUGGCCAAGUGCUCCGCCAAAGAAGAACUUCUGGAACACCGCAAAGCCAAGCUGGAUGUCACUGAUUAUACUCAUCUGAGUAUUGGAGAAAUCGUCUUUGGUUAUAUCAAUCAAGUGCACAACAGCCGUGACAUGGAAAUUGACAUGGUGAAACAGAUACACCAAAAAUCUGAGGUAUAACUCUUGUUGCUAUAUUUUAUUUAUCCUUACUAUACCAGCCCCAAAUCUAUUGCUUAUGAUGAAAUAUGUUGUAGACUUAAUACUAGUUUAGUAAUACAUGCAAGAAACCCGGCUUAUCCUGUAGCACCCAAGGGCCGGUUUAGACAGCAUGUUUGAACCGGUCCUUAUCAUGUUUUAAUCAAGUACUUGAACAGCAAUAUGCAUUAGCCCCCAAGUGCCAAGUACCUUUGCCUGCAAAGUGCUUGGGACUUAUUUCCAUGAACCGCCACUGUAAAUAGAGUUCUUCAGCAUACAUUAGCCCCCAAGUGCCAAGUAUCUUUGCUUGCAAAGUGCUUGGGACUUAAUGUUGCAUUAUGAUGAUCCUGACUGUAACCCGGCAUUUAUACAGGCCACCAUUAGUCAAUUUGAAUCGGAGAUUUCUGACUUGAAGAAUUGCCUAGAAGCUCAGGAGAGUGAGACCCAAAAGGCCAAAUCCAAGUUUGAAUUUAGUGUAUCUAAACAAGAGAAACUGAAAAAGAACUUUGAAGCAGAGAAGAAGGCCUGAGCUGAUGAAAAGAUCGCUUUGAUCAACCGGGCUGAGAAAGCGGAGGCGACUCUUGCAGAAACAACCGCCGAGUUAUCCGGUUUAAAACACCAUGUAUCCCAGAUGGUCUCAGCAAUCUUUGGUAAGUUAGUCUGCAAGUGUUAGAUAUUUUAAAUCUUUUUCAACAAGUAUCUCAAUUGUCAUCAACUCACCUGACUUUGUAAUGUAGGCCCGGGAGUUCCAAUCUUAACCAAAGCAUGUUGAUAAAGCUGAAGGCGGUUUAUACAUUGGUGGAACAACUCUACGCUGGGUCACAACGUGCUUUAGCCAUCGUGGCUUUGUCAAAUGAAGUUCCCACUCUCCUGGCGGAUGUACUAAAAUGGCUUGCCGUGCUACCUCAGCGGUUCCAGGAAUUAAGACGAGCUUCUGCGAGAGCCGGAGCCAUAGCCGCAUUAAGCCGGGCCAAGGCGUGGCUACCGGAGCUAGACCCGGCCGACAUCGCCCUUGGGUAUCCAAGCCUGAAGGAGGACGGCACCCCAUUUGACCAGAAGAAUUUCGCCGCUUGCGUGAAAGAAAUACGCCCUGUGGCCACUCUGAUCAGAGAAUCCCAACGCCACAUUAUGAAGCAAUCAGCCUAAUCCCUCCAAUUCGUAAGCAUACCUUCGCCCCUGAAGUUGAUCCGGCCGGGUUAAUUGAUGAUGAAGCUGAAUUUGAAGCUUUGAGUGGCAUUGACUGGUCAUCAUCAACCUUCCAGGACAGGGAAACAGACAGAGGAGCGAAAAGGGAUGAACCGGAAGCUUCAGGCCAACAACACAUUUGAUCCCUUAGGCGGCCCAUAUUUAUGCCUUGCUGAAAAACAAUGCUUCAUUAUUUGGACUGGGGGAGUCAUGUAAUAGGGUAGAAAAACACUUAAUUUUGUCGUUCCAUCGCGCACAUGUCUGGCGCUCAACACUGUUUAAGCCGCCAUCUUAUAUUCCUCCGUAUUAUGCUGAUCCUCUGCUUUCCUUAUGUUUAAAGAGCUGCUUUAAUUGUCCUGCAUAGAGAACAAAUCACAAGUCCCUUGGCGGUUUACCGCAUGGCGGGUCAUAGAUUUUACAUAUAACCCGGAAUAUGAACAAAAAAUCAUAAAGAAGCCGGUUCUCAAUUAUAUCUUUGAGACAUAACCAUAACAACAUACCUGUGAUCCUUUGAUUACGCUGCCGGUUUAUGUGAUCCGAACAAUGAGGGUGAGAACCCAAUUCUGUAAAAACCGGCACAUAUGAUGUUUGUUAUGUGCUAACAACUUUAUUGUUCAAGGUUAAGCCGGUGGAAUAGAAACCACCCCAUAAACGCUUUCAAAUAUGACCAAAAAGGUCUCAAGGCAGUCAAAUAAUUGUGAUUGCAAAACUUUUACGAGAAACAGACAAAAUUUUGAGGCUUCUGAUUCGAAUACGAUCAGUAAACUGUUCCAAAGGGGUUAAGCUAAGAUUCGAAUACGAUCAUAUAGCCCCCAGUGGCUUUGGCGUUGCCGAUCAAGAGGGUAUCGACAGCUAUGUUCUCUUUGGUUCGAAUACGACCUAUGUUUGAACAGGAAGCCCCCAAAUGACCUUGAAAGUUGUUUAAUGACAAUGAUUCGAAUACGAUCCACGUCAGACUCAAAAGGGGUUGAGCUAUGAUUCGGAUACGAUCAAGAAGCCCCCUAGUGGGUUUGGCGGUAUGCCGAUCAAGAGGGUAUCGACAGCUAUGUUCUCUUUGGUUCGAAUACGACCGAUGUUUGAACAGGAAGCCCCCUGAUGAUCAUGGCUAGAUUCAAACAUGAUCAUAAGCUGUACCAAAGGGAAAGACGGAUUCAAAUAUGAUCCGCUCCCUGUUGGUUGUUUUAACAAUAUAAUAAUGAAGACAUAUAAACUUUUGAGGAUGAAAAGGACAGAGGUCCUGCUUUAUUACUUUUCAUAAUAUAUACAUCGUCAAAAUAUGUACAUCCUGAGAGCCGGUGGCUCAAUUGUAGUAAGGCCAAAGAUGAGCGAUAUUCCACGGCCGGUGGGUCUCCUCUUCCGACUUACGUGAGUCUUUGUGCUCUCGAACAUCGAUGAGGUAAUAUGACCCGUUAUUCAGGUUCUUGCUGACCACAAAGGGUCCUUCCCAAGGCGGGGAUAGCUUGUGCAUAUCGGACUGAUCCUGGAUGAGCCGGAGCACUAAGUCACCUUCUUGAAAGGUUCUGGACCUAACCCGACGGCUGUGAUAACAGCGCAGGUCCUGCUGGUAAAUCACCGAGCGGGCUAUUGCUAAAUCACGCUUCUCAUCCAACAAAUCAAGUGCAUCCUGACGAGCUUGUUCAUUAUCAGCUUCAACGUAAGCCGCCACUCGGGGCGAAUCAUGACGGAUGUCACUUGGUAGGACCGCCUCUGCUCCGUAAACCAUGAAGAAAGGCGUAUGACCCGUAGAUCUGUUAGGUAGUAUUGAUGCUCAAAUCACAGAAGGCAACUCCUCCACCCAACAACCCGGCGUCCGUUGUAAAGGGACCAUGAGCCGGGGCUUUAUACCUUUCAAGAUCUCUUGAUUGGCUCUUUCAGCUUGACCAUUGGAUUGAGGAUGAGCUACUGAUGAAACAUCGAGCCGGAUAUGUUCUCGUUGAUAGAACUCUUCCAUAGCGCCUUUGGACAGAUUAGUACCAUUGUCAGUUAUGAUGUUGUGUGGAAAACCAAAACGAAAUAUCACCUUUUUCAUGAACUGAACCGCCGUGGCUGCAUCACACUUACUGACCGGCUCUGCCUCAACCCACUUUGUGAAUUUAUCAACCGCCACCAGAAGGUGUGUCUUUUUAUCCUUGGACCUUUUGAAAGGCCCAACCAUGUCAAGCCCCCAGACUGCAAACGGCCAAGUGAUUGGAAUCAUCCUUAACUCUUGAGCUGGCACAUGAGCUCGUCGUGAGAAUUUUUGACAACCAUCACAUUUACUGACCAGAUCCUCCGCAUUUGCAUGAGCUGUCAGCCAAUAAAAACCAUGACGGAAGGCUUUGGCCACAAGAGAUUUUGAGCCGGCAUGAUGACCAAAACCCCUUCAUGGAUCUCACGAAGUAUUUCUUGACCUUCCUCACGCGACACACAACGUUGAAACGCCCCAGUAACACUGCGAUGAUGCAACUCACCAUGAACAAUUGUCAUGGACUUGGACCGCCGGACGAUUUGUCUAGCUAAGGUCUCAUCCUCAGGCAACUCGCCCCGGUUCAUGUAAGCCAAAUACGGCACUGUCCAAUCUGGGAUGACGUGAAGAGCCGCCACCAACUGUGCUUCUGGAUCUGGAACAGCUAAGUCUUCCUCUGUGGGCAACUUGACAGAAGGGUUACGCAAAACAUCCAAAAAGGUGUUAGGUGGCACCGGCUUACGCUAAGAUCCCAGCCGGCUUAAAGCAUCUGCCGCCUCAUUCUUUCUUCGAUCGAUGUGCUCCACUUGAUAACCCUUGAAGUGCCCAGCUACAUCAUCAACUUCACGGCGAUAAGCCGCCAUGAGAGGAUCCUUAGAAUCCCACUUGCCUGACACCUGUUGAGCCACCAAAUCUGAGUCGCCCAAGCACCUUACCCAGCUUAAGCUCAUCUCCUUAGUCAUCCGAAGACCAUGGAGCAAGGCCUCAUACUCAGCUGCAUUGUUAGUAUAGCGAAACAUCAACCGGAGCACAUAACAAAAUUUGUCACCUCGAGGGGAAGCUAAAACAACUCCAGCCCCCGAGCCCUCCAAUUGCCUGGAUCCAUCAAAAUGAAUAGUCCAAUAUGUGUUAUCCGGCUUUUCCUCAUGCGUCUGUAGUUCUGUCCAAUCGUUGAUGAAGUCCACCAGUGCUUGAGACUUAAUAGCAGUGCGUGGCACAUACUUCAAACCAUGAGGCCCAAGCUCAAUGGCCCACUUGGCGACUCGUCCUGUACCCUCUAUAUUCUGAAUGAUGUCUCCCAAAGGAGCAGAACUUACCACAAUGAUGGGGUGACCCUGGAAAUAUUGCUUAAGCUUCUGGCUCGCCAUGAACACCCCAUAAACAAGCUUCUGCCAAUGUGGAUAUCUUUGCUUAGACUCAAUAAGCACCUCACUGAUGUAGUAAACCGGCCGUUGAACCGGAUGCUCCUUGCCAACCUCCUUGUGCUCCACCACAAUUGCAACACUGACAGCACGCGAGUUAGCGGCCACGUACAACAAUAGUGGCUCUUUAUCAAUGGGAGCCGCAAGGACCGGCGGCUCAGAUAACUGUCUCUUUAAAUCUUCAAAGGCAGCAUUAGCAGCAUCACUCCAGACAAAAUUGUCUGUUUUCUUCAUCAUCUGAUACAGCGGUAUGGCCUUCUCACCUAACCGGCUUAUGAACCGGCUUAAAGCAGUGAUACGACCAGCCAGUCGCUAAACAUCAUUGAUGCACGCCGGCUUAGCCAAAGAGGUGAUUGCCUUGAUCUUCUCCGGAUUAGCUUCAAUGCCUCUGUUAGAGACCAGAAAACCCAAAAGCUUGCCUGCUGGCACGCCAAGCACACAUUUGGCCGGGUUAAGCAUCAUUUUGUAGACCCGGAGAUUACCAAAGGUUUCCUUCAGAUCAUCUAUCAAGGUUUCCUUCUCUCUGGAUUUCACCACAAUAUCAUCCACAUAAGCGUGAACAUUGCACCCAAUCUGAUUGUGGAGACAGUUUUGUACACAUCGCUGAUAAGUCGCCUGGGCACUCUUAAGCCCAAAUGGCAUAGAUACAUAACAGAAGGCUCCAAACGGAGUGAUGAAAGCCGUCUUCUCCUGGUCCUUAACUGCCAUUUUGAUCUGAUGAUAACCAGAGUAAGCAUCUAAGAAACUCAAACGCUCACAACCCGCCGUAGCAUCAAUAAUUUGAUCAAUACGGGGAAGAGCAAAAGGAUCAGCCAGACAAGCCUUAUUUAAGUCCGUGUAAUCCACACACAUCCGCCAGGUGCCGUUCUUUUUAAGUACAAGCACCGGGUUAGCCAACCACUCUGGGUGAAAAACUUCAACAAUAAACCCGGCCGCUAAGAGCCGGGCCACCUCCUCACCGAUAGCUUUCCGUCUCUCUUCGUUAAACCGCCAAAGAAACUGCCUGACCGGCUUAAACUUUGGAUCAAUAUUAAGAGUGUGCUCAGUGAGUUCUCUCGGUACACCCGGCAUGUCAGAAGGUUUCCAUGCAAAGAUGUCCCGAUUCUCACGGAUGAACUCGAUGAGCGUGCUUUCCUAUUUAGGAUCCAGAUUGGCACUGAUACUGAAUUGCUUAGAUGAGUCGCCUGGAGUAAAAUCAACAAGCUUGGUGUCAUCAGCCGACUUAAAUUUCAUCACCGAGUCAUGCUCUAUGGUUGGCUUCUUCAGAGAUGUCAUGUCUGUCGGGUCAACGUUAUCCUUAUAAAACUUCAGCUCCUCUGCUGCACAAACAGAUUUGGCAUAAGCAGCAUCACCCUCCUGACAUUCCAGGGCUAUCUUCCGACUCCCAUGCACAAUAAUGGUGCCCUUGUGACCUGGCAUCUUGAGCUGCAAGUAAACAUAACACGGCCGCGCCAUGAACUUGGCGUAAGCCGGCCGUCCAAACAGAGCGUGAUAUGGCUCUUGAUCUUGACCACUUCAAAGGUUAAUUUCUCAGCCCUAGAAUCAUGCUCAUCUCCAAAGGCUACCUCCAGCUCAAUCUUACGAACUGGGUAUGCCGACUUACCAGGCACCACUCCAUGGAAAACAGUGUUGGAUGUCUUUAAAUUUUUGUCAGUCAACCCCAUACGUCGAAAGGUCUCAUAAUAGAGGAUGUUGAUGCUGCUACCUCCAUCCAUGAGUACUUUAGUGAAUUUAUAUCCACCAACCUGAGGUGCUACCACCAAGGCUAACUGACCCGGAUUGUCAACCCGGGAAGGGUGAUCUUCCCUGCUCCACACAAUAGGUUGUUCUGACCACCUUAAAUAACGGGGAACUGCCGGCUCAACAGCGUUCACAGCCCUUUUAUGAAGCUUCUGGUCUCGUUUGCACAAGCUAGUGGUGAACACAUGAUACUGUCCACUAUUCAGCUGCUUUGGAUUGCUCUGAUAACCCGAUUGCUGCUGCUGCUGACCUCCAUGACCAGACUGCUGAUUAUAACCACCUUGAUUUCCCUGAAAGCCGGAAUUUGAGCCGCCACCCGGGCCAUGAAAACCGCCUCCACCUGAGCCGCCACCAGACCCAUGGUUGCCAUCGAACAUGUUGGAAUUCUUGAAAGCCUUCAUGAUCGUGCAAUCCUUCCACAGGUGAGUGGCUGGCCUUUCCCGAGUGCCGUGUCUUGGACAGGGUUCGUUGAGUAGUUGCUCAAGAGUAGGACCUGACCCGGCGGACCGAGGGGGUGGCCUCCCCUUGCGUCGUUGAUUGUUACCUUGUGAAUUGGUGUUAGCCACAAACUCUGGGUUACCGUCAGCCUUAUGCUUACUGCCUCCUUGAUUCGCCGGGUUAUGCUGCUGACCCUUUCCGUUGUCGUUCUUCUUUCCCUUCCCUGUCUUCUCUUCAUUAGACGCGGGAUCCUUGGUACUAUCAGAAUCGGCGUAUUUGACUAGAGCCGCCAUCAGCUGGCCCAUGUCAUUACAAUCACGCUUGAGGCGCCCCACCUUCUGUUUCAGAGGUUCAAAUUGGCAAUUUUUCUCCAACAUUAAGACUGCAGAGCCGGCAUCCAUCUUGUCAGACGAAUGUAUUAUCUCCUUGACCUGGCGCACCCAAUGAGUGGUAGACUCACCUUCCUCUUGCUUGCAAUUAGUCAAGUCCACAAUUGACAUGGGCUGCUUGCAGGUGUCUUUGAAAUUCUGGAUAAACCGGGCUUUUAACUCUGCCCAUGAAACAAUGGAAUUAGGCGGCAGCCCCUUUAACCAAGUGCGGGCCGUUCCAUCCAACAUCAUGGUGAAGUACUUGGCCAUCGCCGCAUCACUGACCUCCAACAGCUCCAUGGCCAUCUCAUAGCUUUCAAUCCAUGCCCCGGGCUGUAAAUCAGCCGUAUAAUUUGGCACCUUUCAGGGUCCCUUGAAAUCCUUGGGCAGACACUCAUUACGCAAAGCCGGCACCAAACAAGGAACGCCACCGGUUCUGGUGGCCACUCCUGCCUCAACAGAAGUCGUUGGAUAAUCCGGGAAGGUUUGGUGAGCCGCCUGCUGAGCCGCCCGCUCAUCCUCUCAACGUAUCCUGUCCUGUACCGGAUUAUAUCCACCGGGCUGGUUACGGCACUGGGCGUUGCUUAACAAGGCCUCCGAAUCCAUAUGUCUGCUGUAACUUGGGCUCCGGCUUGGGCGAGGAGUCGAAUGAAUCCUGUCUCGACUAUAGGAAUAAGCCUCCUGCUCAGCCAGAGCCGUCUGAAGAAGUUCUCUGACCCUUCGCGUCUCAACUGCUGUUGGAGAGUCACCAUCCACCGGGAGAGCCGCCAAACGUGCCGAUGCAGCGAUCAGGUUCUUCAAGGGGUUGGAAAAAUGACCCGGUGGCGUUGGUACGUAGCGAGGCGGGGCCGUAUUCACGUGAGGAGGUUCCAUCACCCGGGGCUGAACCGGUGCCCCUGCUCCGGAUGUUACAAACUGAUUUGCCUCCGGCGGGUUACUAGGGCCGGCUCCGGGCGUCCAGAAGAGAUUCCGAGGAUCAUAAACCGGAGGCAAACGGGAUUGAGCCUUCUGGUGCCUCCUCCUCAUCACCUCGUUAGAUGCUUUCAGGCUCAUCGUAAGCUGGAAAGACUCUGACUGGAUCUGUUGAGCCCGAGCAUCCAAAGUCGCCCGCUCUGCGGCCAAUCUGGUGUCCUCAGCUGCUAGGGCUUCUUUGGCUCGGGCUAUCUCCUCACGUACCUAUGCCACCUCUGCAUCAUGCUUAGCUUGACUCACCGGAAUAACUGUGGCGGUUAACAGGGCCGUCAAUUUGUCCAUGAGAUCAAUCAGCACCUGAGCCGGCGGGCGCACAGGGCCUCCUGCCCCGGCCGCUCCUGACCCGGAAGUUAUUGCUACCGCAGCCGUAGAGUUUUGGCCGGGUUGAGUACCAGCCAUGAAGAUCCCUACUCUGCUCGGCGGCUCAAAGGGGUCCGGAAUACUGCUGCCAUCGGAACAGCCCCCAAUCCUGCCAUCUUGCAAUUGGUAUAGCGAAUCCGUCUCACCAGUGGACGACUCACCAUCGGAGUAGACGGCCGUCUCACCGCCGUCCACGGAUCCUUCAGAAAGUUCUCCUCCGUGGAUGCAACCCACGAAGGCACGCUUCACAGUGGGCUGAGCCCGGGCGGGUCUCGCACGCUGAGCCGUCUCGAUGAUGUCGGUGCAGAUGCCCGGCUCAGGGCCCGGCUAGCCAAUCCGGCCGAUGAAGACGUGGAUUCCGCCAAAUGGGACCCGGUACCCGUACUCAAUUGAGCCGGCGUCGUCGAUGUAGAGCUUGCCGCGACGACUCUUGGUCAUCCGGCCCACAGGGUAUCCCUUGAGCCCUUCGAAGUUGCCCUGCAAGAACUCAAAUCCACCGUGCGCUGGCCCCACGGUGGGCGCCAACUGUCGUGGAAUUGUCACGGGAGAUGUCCUCGUGAAAGGACUUAGUCAUGGAGCCAUCGCAACUAGGAAUCUUAAAGGGGUUAAAGUGGGACAAGGACACGAGGGUUUAUACUGGUUCGGCCCCUUGCGGUGAAGGUAAAAGCCUAAUCCAGUUGAGGUGGAAUUGCUAGGGUUUCGAUUACCAGGGAGCAAAUCUGCUAAGCCCGGUUCUCGAUUUGAUGUUACUUGCCCUAAGCCGCCGGCGGGUCGUCCCCUUAUAUACACAGGUUGAUGCCCCGCGGCCUACAGAGUCCCGGCCGGCUCAUAAACAGUGUCCGGCUCGGUGACUAGUUAAUCUUGCCUUACAACACAAGUCAUGCCAUUACGGCGAUUUUAUUACUACGGGCCUUAAGUCGCCUGCGGGCUUUAGGCCCUUUAUUGAACUGCCAUCUUCAAGCUUGAUAUUGGGCUUCAUAUGAUGAAUCGCCAUAGCGUAACCCGGCCCCUCCUGGGCGGGUUACACUAGUAGUUAUAUCCCCAACAAUAACUACUCACAAAUCAUGCUCAUGUUCAAGAUCAGAGGGGUAUUGAAUGUCAUUAAGGAUCUAAACAUAAGAUUUUCCACCAAAUAAACCAACUAGCAUCAACUACAAAGAGUAAUCAAUACUACUAGCAACCCACAGGUACCAACCUUAGGUUCUGAGGCAAAGAUUGAGUACAAGAGAUGAACUAGGGUUUGAGAGGACAUGGUGUUGAUGAAGAUUGACCCUCCCAUGAUGAGAGGAUCGAUGGUGGUGACGAUGGCCUCGAUUUCCCCGUCUCGGUGGGAAGUUUUCCCACGAGAAUCGCUCUGCCAGGGCUCUAGAUUGCUUCUUCCCAGGUUCCGCCUCGAGACGGCGGCGCUUCGCCCCGAAAGCUUUCCUUCUCAUUUUUUCUAGGUUAAAACCUUUCAUAUAGUAGAACAUGGACACCGAGGGUUGGCCAGGAGGCCCACAAGCUCAGGGGGCGUGCCCUGGGGGGUAGGGCGCACCCCCCAGGCUUGUGGCCACCUGGUGGGUCCCCUUCUGUUGUUUCUUCGUCCAAUAUUUUUAUAUAUUUCAAAACAAUUCUCCGUAAAGUUUCUGGACAUCUGGAGUUGUGCAGAAUAGGUAUCUCAGAUUUGCUCCUUUCCGGUCCAGAAUUCCAGCUACCGGCAUUCUCCCUCUUCAUGUAAACCUUGCAAAAUAAAAGAGAAAAGGCAUAAGAAUUGUAUCUUAAAGAGUAAUAACAGUCCAUAAUGCAAUAAAUAUCAACAUAAAGACAUGAUGCAAAAUGGACGUAUCAUUGUGCUUCUGUUUGUGUGCAUCCUGUCAUCACUGCGAGCCUACAAUAUCGUCAAUCACGGAACCCCGAGGAUGUCCCUGCUAGCCUAGGAACCCAACAUGAUGAUCACCCGAUGUCGGAGCUGAUUUCGGCAUAUCCCUUAGUAGGUUAUCUCGACAUGGUGAUUAGGUUGGAGGGGAAACAAGAGAUGAUUUUACCCAGGUUUACACCCUCUGUGAGAGGUAAAACCAUACUCCUGCUCGUGUAUAUUGCGAUCAGGGUGUACAAAGUGCAGGUAUAACCAAGGGAUUGUAUGAUAAUCUAUCUAGUAGAUCGGCCCUGGCUUAUGUAAGAUAUUGGGCCCCUACGGUUACACAAGCUAGUCGUCUAUGGCUGUCGAAUGGCAAGGUCUCCAGAGUCCUCUUCUACAUGGCCCAUGGGACGGACUGAUGUCCUAGGGAGAAACCGACCUAGGGGGCCUCGGGCCGGCCUACCUAGGCCGGAAACCAAUAAGGUGCGGACCCUUGGGUCGUAACACCAUCACCCGAGAAGGAACGCCAGCCUGCGGGCACAAUCAGUGGAGCCCCUGGGGGGUUGCCGUGCCCAGGUUGUGCUUGCCUAGGGAUCCCGAGCACCCGAUUCUAGAGCCAAACCCCGGGCCGAGUCUAGCCCAUGUCACGGAUCCAGGGAACCCCGUCCCUCGUAUCCCUGACAGUGAUACAAAGAAUGUAAACAUGACUGUCUAUGUCAAUAUUGAAGUACUUUGGUCAAGGCGACAUGCGCUAGUCGCUCGUCUCGUCGAAGGGGGCAUGCAUAUGGCGGGCCACUUUGAUAACUGGUAGUGUAUUUUUUUCAUAAUAUCAAAAAUCUUUCAGAAGUACAAAAUUGCUAGGCCAAAUAAGUAGACAUUUACCCCUUUUGUUUCAGAAUUUUUAGAAAAGAUUUAUUUUUUGUCCAAAAUGUUGGAAAACAAUGACAUAGGUUGUCCAAAUGGGUCCGGCUUUAGACAAGUGUCUAUUCCAACAUUAAGAAUGAGGAGUACAAGCCAGGUGUGUUGGAGAAGUUGUGUGUGAUAUAGUGGAGAAGCUAUGCGUGUUAAUAAACACAGGGAAUUUUGAGGAGAAGGGGAAGAACGUGGAGAGAAGGGGAUCUGGAGGAUGCGGGUAGGUGGAUGGCAUGUAAAGCCAAACCAACGCGUGUGAAUAUUAAAUUGACGCAACCUGAGAUGAUACCGGUCAGGUUGGUGGAGUUGAACUCAAUGACAUUCGGGGUGGAGGAUCCACUUGUACGAUUUAUUUCCUUUUGUUCUGUAAAUGUAAAACACCCCCUUUAAAUCUAAUUAUUUGAUGAAGUUUUUGCAAAUAGAUUUGUUUGUAGUAUUUGAACUUCAUUGAUGUUUUCAUGUAUAUGUUUCACUAAUUUUUGGAUAGUUUUACUGUAUGUUAUACAUUAAAUGAAUUUAUGCACACUUAUUGAAAGUGAUUCCAUUUUGAACUAUAGGUGUAUCAAAUAAGCUCUAAAAUGAUAUACUAUAUAUAUACAAUUUGAGCUCAUGUGUUGCAAACAGAUGAAAUAUGCAACUCAGUGUUAUGGUAGAUCCCGGGGAGUUUUUCCAUGUUUAAGAAAAUGACAAGCUAUCUAAAUGUAGUCAAAAAAUACUAAAACUUGGCAUGACACUCUUAUAUAGGCACAUAAACCCGUGAUAACAAUUUUAGAAGAAUACACAAAGUAAAGAAUAAUAAGUUCUUGACAAAAUGGACUACCUUCGAUGAAGUUUCAUAGUACCAUUCACCCUAAAUAUCCAACUUUGCACAACCCAAACAAUUUUCAGUGACUAUUUGAGCUCUUUUAUAUUUCAAACUUUUUAUACAUCUUGAUUUAACAUUUAUAAUGACAAAUGCAAACUAAAUCACCAUUUGUUAUGUAAUAAUCUUAUGUUAGCAUGACCUCCAGUUAUUUAAGGCUAAAAAAGAGUGUCUGAAUGUAGUCCAAAAUUACUUAAAACUGGAAGGGUGUCUUAAAAUUGGUACAAUAUCUUACGAUAAAUAUCUAAGAAAAUAUACACAAGAGAAAUAAUGAUUGUUCACUAGGUGAACUACCUCCCAUAACAUCAACCCUUUUGAAGUGACUAUUUGAGCUCAUUUUCACGUAAAACUUUGUGUAAACUUUGCUUUAACAUUUGUAAUGAUAUCAUAUAAUCAUAUCACCUAGGGUGAGAUUUAUUUAAAUCUCAUGUAGAAUAGAGUUGCCGAUAAAGGAUCCUGCCCGGCUUUAUAUAAAGCAACAUCAACGAGUGAUAGAAGUAUUUGGGGCACCAACUUAAUAAUAAGCACAAAACAAGAAGAUACUUCAUAUCAGAUGAGUAGUUGGAGCCAAUCGAGGAACCAGAUCCUUGAAGUUGACCAUCAUGUCAUCAAUUGUAGCCCAGUCAUAUGUUUUGUCCAGGGACUUCCAUUGCUUUAAGAAGCCAUUGAAUUUGUAAAGCAAAUAAAUUGCCUUGGUCAAGAGACUAUGUUCAAUAACAACUUUUUUAUAGGGACUUUUACAUUUGUGUCCUUAACUCAAACCCACUACUCAGAUUUAUCGCUAAUUUCGAAGUAUGCUCAAAUUUUUCCCUCUACCGAUAGAUACCCUUAUAAAAAUGACCUUAUUGUCGUUUCCGUAUGGUCAAAGAGCUUUGAUCGACAUUUUCUGAAAUUUCUACCCCUCGAUGCAUAUGUCACCUACAAGUGGGACCUAAUAACGAAAAAUAAAAACAAAAACCCUAUCCACCCUAUAACUAACUUACAAGUGGGCCCAGAGCAAAAUAAGAAGAAAAACUGUCUCUCGCAACCCCUCUCUCUCCAUGUACAUGUGGGCGAGGGGACACAGAUUGAGGCAUGCCCGACCGUGAGCGGUUGUGCUCGCCGUUGCUUGCCCACUCCGGUCUCUUCCCCUCUCAUCUCUCUCUCUCUCUCUCUCUCUCUCUCUCUCUCUCUCUCUCUCUCUCUCUCUCUCUCCUCUACCCUUGCCUCCAUGGCCGUACCGAGCUCCCGCGGCUAACCUCGUCCCUUCUCCUAUCCUCCAUGUCUUGAAACUCCUCCGCGUUGCUCUCUUCCUUUCUGCCAAAAUAAUCUGGUCGGAGGAGCACCGUCGCUACACCACGGUCCAUCAUGUCUGUGGCCGGCCGCCGCUCGCCGUCGCCAGAUUCACCGCCGUAUGUUGAUCCCCGGUGCUCCCUGACAGUCAUAGAGAUCCAUAGGUGACUCGGAUAUUCCAGACACGUCUCCGACGAGCUUCUCUUCGUUUAGCCCCCUCCCCAUGAUGCCUCACUCCGGCGGCCGCCACGGGGGUCCGAGCUGACGCUACAAUGUCUCCCCGCGGUACUUGAUCACCCCAGGCUAGUGCAGCUUCGCGCUAGCAUCCUUCGAAGACUGCUCUCACGGCCCCAUGACCGCUUGGCCAUCUUCUCGUAUGUCGCCGGCAUAAUUCGUGUGCAGGCGCCGGCGUUCGGCCACUGUGGGCCAUGUGGACUUUUGUGAUUAACAAGCUGUUAGGCUAAGUAAAUGCGUAGUUAGGCUAACCAAUUGUUAAUUGUGCCAUUGCUAAUAAAAACUGUUAAUUGUGCCACUCACAUGUGGAUCCCGAGGCUUAACAAAUUUUGUAAAUUGUUUCAAGUUUUAUUUUUGGUCAGGGUCCACGUGUAAGUGUGUGAGAGUUUUAUUCCUUCUAUUUUAGGGUGGGCCCCCACAUGUAAGUGAUAGUAAGUGCCAGAGUGAGAGAAACUUUUUUCUUUUUUCUAGGGAUAAUGGGCCCCGCGUGUCAGUGUCACAUGCUGAGAGGGGUAAGACUGUCCAAAAAAUUUGCCGUAGACGGUCAAAGCCCUUUGACCGGAUGGAAAUGGCACAUAAGGGCAUUUUUAUAAGGGCAUCUAACGGUAGAGGAGUAAAUUUGAGCACACUCCAAAAUUAAUGGUAAAUCUAAGUAGUGAGUUUGAGUUAUGGACAGAAAUGUAGGAGUCCCUUGUUUAUAAUGCACCAAAGUGUCCAAGCCAAGGUCACAAAUCUAACCCAUUGGAGCCUAUGACCCUGACCUGAGCAAACCAAGAUCAUUUUGAAGACCCCCAUUGGAUGGCACCCAUGGCCCCCUAAGCUCCCAUCACACAACUCCGCAAGAACCGAACCAAAAUGUUGGAAAAAAUAUGAUUGAUAUCCUGGAAAGCAACAACCAUCUUUAUGGUCAUUGCCCUUCAGGACCUGGUCACCUGCCAGUGUUGCCCCCUGACCAGCUGCCAAAGGAAGAACUUUAUGUGCCGGGAAGGCACGCCUUCCAUAGCACCGUGAGCUCCUCUGAACCAUGGCCCGCAACAAUCUAUCUCAUACAGAUUUUGUGGAGAACUUUCGGGUGGCUCAAAAGCCCAUGAGUUGUGCCCCGGCCAUCAGACAAGGUCACCCCCACCAACUUGGCAACAAAAGACUCGCUUCCUCUAACUCAGGUGGCCCGAAAGAGUGGCGGAAUGAGAGGUUCCUGCCAAAUUCCUAUGACCUCCGCAACCGACAUCCCAGGUUGGUUAGAUAUAGCAAACAAAGACAGCAAAUGGUCCUGAAGCGGCUGAUCACCCAACCACCAGUCAAGCCAAAAUAAUGUGCCCAUUCUAGAGCCAACCUUAAUUGACACCCCAAAGACGGAAGCACAACUUGAGGGCCUAGAUAGCCUGCCAUAACUAUUAAUCCUUGACCCCGAGGGCAGAUGGCGAAGGAAUGCCCAUGGAGACAAGUCACCUUGAUAAGACCAAGCCAAAGCCUGCCCUCCUUAGAAAAAAUCCCCCAAAUCCAUUUGGUCAUAAAGCAAGGAUUCAUACAUAUAGUUGACAUGAUGCCUAGACCGCUUGUUCUUUCGGCAUACAUGUUCACACAUUUGACCAUGUGGUAUAUCUCCUCGCCCGCCUCCCCUUGCCAAAAGAAUCUCCAUUAAAAUUUAUCAAUGGUCGCAUGAGAUCCUUCUGGAAAUAGAUAGAAUCUUAUAACAAAAGUGGGGAGGCUGGCUAUGAAGGAAUUGGUGAACACCGACUUAUCCGCCUUGGAUGUGAGACAACCCAACCAUGGAUCACCUUGAUGUUGAGCCUGAUCUAACACUAAUGUCUACUACACAACUAGUUCUUGUAGACUCGUGUUGGGCCUCCAAGCGCAGAGUUUUGUAGGACAGUAGCAAAUUUCCCUCAAGUGGAUGACCUAAGGUUUAUCAAUCCAUGGGAGGCGUAGGAUGAAGAUGGUCUCUCUCAAACAACCCUGCAACCAAAUAAUAAGAAGUCUCUUGUGUCCCCAACACACCAAAUACAAUGGUAAAUUGUAUAGGUGCACUAGUUCGGCGAAGAGAUGGUGAUACAAGUGUAGUAAUGAUGGUCGAUAUUGAUUUUUGUAAUAGGAACAAUAAAAAAUAGCAAGGUAGCAAUUGAUAAAAUGGAGCACAAACGGUAUUGGAAUGCUUGAAAAUGAGGCCUAGGGUCCGUACUUUCGCUAGUGGAAUCUCUCAACCAUGCUAAUCUAAUUGGAUCACAUAACCAUCCCUCAACGUGCGAUGAAGAAUCACUCCAAAGUUCUUAUCUAGCGGAGAACAUAAGAAGAAAUUGUUUGUAGGGUACGAAACCACCUUAAAGUUAUUCUUUCCGUUCGAUCUAUUCAAGAGUUCAUACUAAAAUAACGCAAAGUUAUUCCUUUCGUUCGAUCUAUCCAAGAGUUCAUACUAAAAUAACAUCAUCUGAUACACAUCAACCAACUCUAAUGUCACCUAGAUACUCUAAUGUCACCACAAGUAUCCGUGAGUUAAUUAUACAAUACACAUCAAACAAUUUCAGAUUCAUAAUACUCGAUCCAACACAAAGAACCUCAAAGAGUGCCCAAGAUUUCUACCGGAGAAACAAGGAUGAAAACGUGCAUCAACCCCUAUGCAUAGAUUACCCCAAUGUCAUCUCAGGAAUCCGUGAGUUGAGUGCCAAAACAUAUAACAAGUGAAUCAAUAUAAUACCCCAUUGUCACCACGGGUAUUGAUACGUCUCCAACGUAUAUAUAAUUUUUAAUUGUUCCAUGCUAUUAUAUUAUCUGUUUUGGAUGUUUAAUGGGCUUUAUUAUGCAGUUUUAUAUUAUUUUUUGGACUAACCUAUUAACCAAAGGCCCAGUGCAAAUUGUUGUUUUUUUGCCUAUUUCGGUGUUUCGUACAAAAGGAAUAUCAAAGGGAGUCCAAACGGAAUGAAACCUUCGGGAGAGUUAUUUUUGGAACAAAUGCAAUCCAGGAGACUUGGAGUGGACGUCAAUAAAGAAACGAGGCGGCCACGAGGCAGGAGGGCGCGCCCCCACCCUCGUGGGCCCCUCGUGGCUCCACUGAACUACUUCUUUCGCCUAUAUAUACUCAUAUACCCUCAAAACAUCCAAGAGCACCACAAAACCCUAUUUCCACCGCCGCAACCUUCUGUGCCCAUGAGAUCCCAUCUUCGGGCCUUUUCCGGUGCUCCGCCGGAGGGGGAAUCGGUCACGGAGGGCUUCUAUAUCAACACCAUAGCCUCUCCGAUGAUGUGUGAGUAGUUUACCACAGACCUUCAGGUCCAUAGUUAUUAGCUAGAUGGCUUCUUCUCUCUCUUUGGAUCUCAAUACAAAGUUCUCCUCGAUUAUCUUGGAGAUCUAUUCGAUGUAAUUCUUUUUGCGGUGUGUUUGUCGAGAUCUGAUGAAUUGUGGGUUUGUGAUCAAGAUUAUCUAUGAACAAUUUUUGAUACUUCUCUGAAUACUUUUAUGCAUUAUUUAAUUAUCUUUGCAAGUCUCUUCGAAUUAUCAGUUUGGUUUGGCCUACUAGAUUGAUCUUUCUUGCAAUGGGAGAAGUGCUUAGCUUUGGGUUCAAUCUUGCGGUGUCCUUUCCCAGUGACAGCAGGGGCAGCAAGGCACGUAUUGUAUUGUUGCCAUCGAGGAUAAAAAGAUGGGGUUUAUAUCAUAUUGUUUGAGUUUAUCCCUCUACAUCAUGUCAUCUUGCCUAAUGCGUUACUCUUUUCUUAUGAACUUAAUACUCUAGAUGCAUGCUGGAUAGCGGUCGAUGUGUGGAGUAAUAGUAGUAGAUGCAGAAUCGUUUCGAUCUACUUGUCAUGGACGUGAUGCCUAUAUACAUGAUCAUGCCUAGAUAUUCUCAUAACUAUGCGCUUUUCUAUCAAUUGCUCGACAGUAAUUUGUUCACCCACCGUAAAUUAUGCUAUCUUGAGAGAAGCCACUAGUGAAACCUAUGGCCCCCGGGUCUAUCUUCCAUCAUAUUAAUCUCCCAGUAAUUUGCUAUUUUUGUCAGCGUUUACUGUGCAGUCUUUACUUUCCAAUCUAUAUCAUAAAAAAUACCAAAAAUAUUUCUCUUAUUAUCUCUAUCAGAUCUCACUUUUGCAAGUGGCCGUGAAGGGAUUGACAACCCCUUUAUCGCGUUGGUUGCAAGGUUCUUAUUUGUUUGUGCAGGUACGAGGGACUUGUGCGUAGUCUCCUACUGGAUUGAUACCUUGGUUCUCAAAAACUGAGGGAAAUACUUACACUACUUUGUUGCAUCACCCUUUCCUCUUCAAGGGAAAACCAACGCAUGCUCAAGAGGUAGCAAGAAGGAUUUCUGGCGCCGUUGCCAGGGAGAUCUACGCUCAAGUCAAGACAUACCAAGUACCCAUCACAAACUCUUAUCCCUCGCAUUACAUUAUUUUCCAUUUGCCUCUCGUUUUCCUCUCCCCCACUUCACCUUUGCCGUUUUAUUCACCCUCUUUUUCGUUCGCCCUUUUUCUUGCUUCUUGUGUGCUUGUGUGUUGGAUUGUUUGUUAUGAUGGCUCAAGACAAUACUAAAUUGUGUGAUUUUUCCAAUACCAACAACAAUGAUUUUCUUAGCACUCCGAUUGCCCCUAUUACCGAUGCUGAAUCUUGUGAAAUUAAUGUUGCUUUAAUGAAUCUUUUCAUGAAAGAUCAAUUCUCCGGCCUUCCUAGUGAAGAUGCCGCUACACAUCUAAACAACUUUGUCGAUUUGUGUGAUAUGCAAAAGAAGAAAGAUGUGGAUAAUGAUAUUGUUAAAUUGAAGCUAUUUCCAUUUUAGCUUAGAGAUCGUGCUAAAACUUGGUUUUCAUCUUUGCCUAAAAAUAGUAUUGAUUCAUGGAAUAAGUGCAAAGAUGCCUUUAUCUCUAAGUAUUUUCCUCCCGCUAAGAUCAUCUCUCUUAGAAAUGAUAUUAUGAAUUUUAAGCAACUUGAUCAUGAGCAUGUUGCACAAGCUUGGGAAAGGAUGAAAUUAAUGAUACAUAAUUGCCCUACUCAUGGUUUGAAUUUAUGGAUGAUAAUACAAAAAAUUUAUGCCGGAUUGAAUUUUGCUUCUAGAAAUCUUUUAGAUUCGGCCGCGGGAGGCACUUUUAUGGAAAUCACUUUAGGAUAAGCUACUAAAGUCCUAGAUAAUAUUAUGGUUAAUUAUUCUCAAUAGCACACCGAAAGAUCUACUAGUAAAAAGGUUCAUGCGAUAGAAGAGAUUAAUGUUUUGAGUGGAAGAUAGAUGAACUUAUGAAAUUGUUUGCUAAUAAGAGUGUUCCUUCUGAUCCUAAUGAUAUGCCUUUUUCUACUUUGAUUGAGAAUAAUAAUGAAUCUAUGGAUGUGAAUUUGUUGGUAGGAACAAUUUUGGUAACAACGCGUAUAGAGGAAACUUUAAUUCUAGGCCGUUCCCUAGUAAUUCCUCUAAUAAUUAUGGUAAUUCCUACAACAACUCUGAAAUUUAAUAAGAUGCCCUCUGAUUUUGAGACUAGUGUUAAAGAAUUUAUGAUUUCGCAAAAGAAUUUCAAUGCCUUGCUUGAAGAAAAAUUUCCUAAGAUUGAUGAGUUGGCUAGGAACGUGCAUAUAAUUUCUCUUGAUGUUGAUUCUUUGAAACUUAGAUCUAUUCCACCUAAGCAUGAUAUCAAUGAGUCUCUCAAAUCUAUGAGAAUUUCCAUUGAUGAGUGCAAAGAAAGAACCACUAGGAUGCGUGCUAAAAAAGAUUGCUUUAUAAAAGCGUGUUCUUCUAGUUUUCAUGAUAAUAAGGAUGAAGAUCUAAAAGUGAUUGAUGUGUCUCCUAUUAAAUCUUUGUUUUUCAAUAUGAAUCUUGAUAAUGAUGGGACUGGAGAUGAGUCAACUUUAGUUAAAAGGCGUCCCAAUGAUUUGGAGUUUUUAGAUCUUGAUGCAAAAAUUGGUAAAAGUGGGAUUGAAGAGGUCAAAACUUUACAUGGCAAUGAACCCACUAUUUUGGAUUUCAAGGAAUUUAAUUAUGAUAAUUGUUCUUUAAAAGAUUGUAUUUCCUUGUUGCAAUCCGUGUUAAAUUCGCCUCAUGCUUAUGCUCAAAAUAAAGCUUUCACUAAACAUAUCGUUGAUGCCUUAAUGCAAUCUAAUGAAGAAAAGCUUGAAUUGGAAGUUUCUAUCCCUAGAAAACUUUAUGAUGAGUGGGAACCUACUAUUAAAAUUAAGAUUAAAGAUCAUGAAUGCUAUGCUUUGUGUGAUUUGGGUGCUAGUGUUUCCACGAUUCCAAGAACUUUGUGUGAUGUGUUAGGUUUCCAUGAAGUUGAUAAUUGUUCUUUAAAUUUGCAUCUUGCGGAUUCCACCAUUAAGAAACCUAUGGGAAGAAUUAAUGAUGUUCUUAUUGUUGCAAAUAAGAAUUAUGUGCCUGUAGAUUUCAUUGUUCUCGAUAUAGAUUGCAAUCCUACAUGUCCUAUUAUUCUUGGUAGACCUUUCCUUAGAACGAUUGGUGCAAUUAUUGAUAUGAAAGAAGGAAAUAUUAGAUUCCAAUUUCAGUUAAGGAAAGGCAUGGAACACUUUCCUAGGAAGAAAAUUAAAUUACCUUAUGAACCUAUUAUGAGAGCCACUUAUGGAUUGCAUACCAAAGAUGGCAAUACCUAGAUCUAUUCUUGCUUUUAUGCCUAGCUAGGGGCGUUAAACGAUAGCGCUUGUUGGGAGGCAACCCGAUUUUAUUUUUGUUUCUUGAUUUUUGGUUCUAUUUAGUAAUAAAUAAUUCAUCUAGCUUCUGUUUAGAUGUUUUUAAUGUUUCAAUUAGUGUUUGUGCCAAGUACCUUUGGGAAGACUUGGGUGAAGUCUUUGCGAUCUUGCUGUAAAAAACAGAAGCUUUAGCGCUCACGACAUUAGCUACAAUUUUUUUACUGGAGAGUGAUUUUACGUUGAUUCUUCUUUCAGAUGAUUAAUAGACAAAUUACUCACGUCCACCAAUUUAUUUCAGAAUUUUUGGAGUUACAGAAGUAUACGUUUGAUACAAAUUACUACAAAAUGUUCUGUUUUUGACAGAUUCUGUUUUUCGUGUGUUGUUUGCUUAUUUUGAUGAAUCUAUGGCUAGUAUCGGGGGGUAUGAACCAUAAAGAAGUUGGAAUACAAUAGUUUAACAACAAUAUAAAUAUAGAAUGAGUUCAUUACAGUACCUUAAAGUGGUGAUUUGUUUUCUUAUACUAACAGAGCUCAUGAGAUUUUCUGUUGAGUUUUGUGUAGUGAAGUUUUCAAGUUUUGGGUAAAGAUUUGAUGGAUUUUGGAAUAAGGAGUGGCAAGAGCCUAUGCUUGGGGAUGCCCAAGGCACCCCAAGGUAAAAUUCAAGGACAACCAAAAGCCUAAGCUUGGGGAUGCCCCAGAAGGCAUCCCCUCUUUCAUCUUCGUCUAUCGGUAACUUUACUUGAGGCUAUAUUUUUAUUCACCACAUGAUAUGUGUUUUGCUUGGAGCGUCUUGUAUGAUUUGAGUAUUUGCUUUUUAGUUUACCACAAUCAUCCUUGCUGUAAACACCUUUUGGAGAGACACACAUGAAUCGGAAUUUAUUAAAAUACUCUUUGUGCUUCACUUAUAUCUUUUGAGCUAGAUAAUUUUGCUCUAGUGCUUCGCUUAUAUCUUUUAGAGCACGGUGGUGGUUUUAGUUUAUAGAAAUUAUUGAUCUCUCAUGCUCCACUUAUAUUAUUUUGAGAGUCUUAUAGAACAGCAUGGUAAUUUGCUUUGGCUAUAAAAUUAGUCCUAAUAUGAUGAACAUCCAAGAUGGGUAUAAUAAAAACUAUCAUAUAAAGUGCAUUGAAUACUAUGAGAAGUUUGAUACUUGAUGAUUGUUUUGAGAUAUGAAGAUAGUGAUAUUAGAGUCAUGCUAGUAGAGUAGUUGUGAAUUUGAGAAAUACUUGUUCUGAAGUUUGUGAUUCCCGUGGCAUGCACGUAUGGUGAACCGUUAUGUGAUGAAGUCGGAGCAUGAUUUAUUUAUUGAUUGUCUUCCUUAUGAGUGGCGGUCGGGGACGAGCGAUGGUCUUUUCCUACCAAUCAAUCCCCCUAGGAGCAUGCGCGUAGUACUUUGUUUUGAUAACUAAUAGAUUUUUACAAUAAGUAUGUGAGUUCUUUAUGACUAAUGUUGAGUCCAUGGAUUAUACGCACUCUCACCCUUCCACCAUUGCUAGCUUCUCUAAUACCGCGCACCUUUCGUCGGUAUCAUACACCCACCUUAUACCUUCCUCAAAACAGCCACCAUACCUACCAAUUAUGGCAUUUCCAUAGCCAUUCCGAGAUAUAUUGCCAUGCAACUUACCACCGUUCCGUUUGUUAUGACACGUUUCAUCAUUGUCAUAUUGCUUUGCAUGAUCAUGUAGUUGACAUUGUAUUUGUGGCAAAGCCACCUUUAUAAUUCUUUCAUACAUGUCCCUCUUGAUUCAUUGCAUAUCCGGGUACACCGCCGGAGGCAUUCACAUAGAGUCAUAUUUUGUUCUAAGUAUUGAGUUGUAAGUAAAUAAAAGUGUGAUGAUCAUCAUUAUUAGAGCAUUGUCCCAAAUGAGAAAAGGAUGAUGGAGACUAUGAUUCCCCCAUAAGUCGGGAUGAGACUCCGGACGAAAAAGAAAAAAAAAGAAAAAAGAGGCCAUAUAAAAAAAAGAGAAAAAGGCCCAAAUAAAAAAAGAGAGAAAAAGAGAGAAGGGACAAUGUUACUAUCCUUUUACCACGCUUGUGCUUCAAAGUAUUACCAUGAUCUUCAUGAUAGAGAGUCUCCUAUGUUGUCACUUUCAUAUACUAGUGGGAAUUUUCAUUAUAAGAACUUGGCUUGUAUAUUCCAAUGAUGGGCUUGCUCAAAAUGCCCUAGGUCUUGGUGAGCAAGCGAGUUGGAGACACACCCACUUAGUUUCUUUUGUUGAGCUUUCAUACACUUAUAUCUCUAGUGCAUCCGUUGCAUGGAAAUCCCUACUCACUCACAUUGAUAUCUAUUGAUGGGCAUCUCCAUAGCCCGUUGAUACGCCUAGUUGAUGUGAGACUAUCUUCUCCUUUUUUGUCUUCUCCACAACCACCCUUCUAUUCCACAUAUAGUGCUAUGUCCAUGGCUCACGCUCAUGUAUUGCGCGAAGUUCAAAAAGUUUGAGAACAUCAAAAGUAUGAAACAAUUGCUUGGCUUGUCAUCGGGGUUGUGCAUGAUUAAAUACUUUGUGUGAUGAACAUAGAGCAUAGCCAGACUAUAUGAUUUUGUAGGGAUAACUUUCUUUGGCCAUGUUAUUUUGAGAAGACAUGAUUGCUUUGUUAGUAUGCUUGAAGUAUUAUUAUUUUUAUGUCAAUAUUAAACUUUUAUCUUGAAUCUUUCGGAUCUGAACAUUCAUGCCACAAUAAAGAAAAAAUACAUUGAGAAUUAUGCUAGGUAGCAUUCCACAUCAAAAAUUCUGUUUUUAUCAUUUACCUACUCGAGGACGAGCAGGAAUUAAGCUUGGGGAUGCUUGAUACGUCUCCAACGUAUCUAUAAUUUUUUUAUUGUUCCAUGCUAUUAUAUUAUCUGUUUUGGAUGUUUAAUAGGCUUUAUUAUGCACUUUUAUAUUAUUUUUGGGACUAACCUAUUAACCAAAGGCCCAGUGCAAAUUGCCGGUUUUUUUUGCCUAUUUCAGUGUUUCGCAGAAAAGGAAUAUCAAAUGGAGUCCAAACGGAAUGAAAACUUCGGGAGAGUAAUUUUUGGAACAAACGCAAUCCAGGAGACUUGGAGUGGAUGUCAAGAAAGAAACGAGGAGGCCACGAGGGAGGAGGGCGCGCCCAGGGGGUAGGCACGCUCCCCACCCUCGUGGGUCCCUCGUGGCUCCACCGACCUACUUCUUUGGCCUAUAUAUACUCAUAUACCCUGAAAACAUCCAAGAGCACCAUGAAACCCUAUUUCCUCCGCCGCAACCUUCUGUACCCAUGAGAUCCCAUCUUGGGGCCUUUUCCGGCACUCCGCCGGAGGGGGAAUCGAUCACGGAGGGCUUCUACAUCAACACCAUAGCCUCUCCGAUGAUGUGUGAGUAGUUUACCACAGACCUUCGGGUCCAUAGUUAUUAGCUAGAUGGCUUCUUCUCUCUCUUUGGAUCUCAAUACAAAGUUCUCCUCGAUUCUCUUGGAGAUCUAUUCGAUGUAAUACUUUUUGCGGUGUGUUUGUCGAGAUCCGAUGAAUUGUGGGUUUAUGAUCAAGAUUAUCUAUGAACAAUAUUUGAUUCUUCUCUGAAUUCUUUUAUGCAUGAUUUAAUUAUCUUUGCAAGUCUCUUCGAAUUAUCAGUUUGGUUUGGCCUACUAGAUUGAUCUUUCUUGCAAUGGGAGAAGUGCUUAGCUUUGGGUUCAAUCUUGCGGUGUCCUUACCCAGUGACAACAGGGGCAGCAAGGCACGUAUUGCAUUGUUGCCAUCGAGGAUAAAAAGAUGGGGUUUAUAUCAUAUUGUUUGAGUUUAUCCCUCUACAUCAUGUCAUCUUGCCGAAUGCGUUACUGUGUUCUUAUGAACUUAAUACUCUAGAUGCAUGCUAGAUAGCGGUCGAUGUGUGGAGUAAUAGUAGUAGAUGCAGAAUCGUUUCGGUCUACUUGUCACGGACGUGAUGCCUAUAUACAUGAUCAUGCCUAGAUAUUCUCAUAACUAUGCGCCUUUCUAUCAAUUGCUCGACAGUAAUCCGUUCACCCACCUUAAAUUAUGCUAUCUUGGGAGAAGCCACUAGUGAAACCUAUGGCCCCCGGGUCUAUCUUCCAUCAUAUUAAUGUCCUAGCAAUUUGCUAUUUCUGUCACCGUUUACUUUGUAAUCUUUACUUUCCAAUCUAUAUCAUAAACAAAUACCAAAAAUAUUUAUCUUAUUAUCUCUAUCAGAUCUCACUUUUGCAAGUGGCCGUGAAGGGAUUGACAACCCCUUUAUCGCAUUGGUUGCAAGGUUCUUAUUUGUUUGUGCAGGUACGAGGGACUUGCGCGUAGUCUCCUACUGUGUCGGAUGUGGGGUUCCGGCAAACCCUUAAGGUUCGAACACUAGGGUGCGCGCGAAGUCUUUCCCUCCUACCGAUCUACGCCCUAGCUCGCUAAGAUCUCGCGGACGAACUCGACGAACUCGCAACAUAGAAAGACACGAGGUUUAUACUGGUUCGGGCCACCAUUGUGGUGUAAUACCCUCCUCCAGUGUGGUGGUGGUGGAUUGCCUCUAGGGCUGAUGAUGAAGAGUACAAGGAAAGAACAGCCUCCUGAGGUUGAGGUGUUCUUGUGGCUAGGUAGGCUCUCGAUCGGGUUGGAUCAAGCUAAGAUGAGAUGCCCCUACUAUGGUGGCUAGCUCUACUUAUAUAGGCCCUGGUCCUCUUCCCAAAUAUCGAGCGGGAAGGGAGCCAACAACGGCGGGCAAAUUUGAAGGGGGACAGCUAGUACAAGCUAUCCUGACAAAAGCGGUCUUCGCCUGCGAAAAGCUCUGGUGGUGACGCCGUCUUGGGCUCCAUGAUGACCUCCGUCUUGCCGUCCUCCUGGUCUCGGUCUCGUUGCACCAAUAUAGCAACCUUUGUCUGAUGCCUCGGUACUCUUCGCCUGCGCUGGCCUCCUUAGCACCAAAGAGGAAAUAAGGACGCUGCGCACGCUCGCGCCCGCCUGGUGUCGUUCGUCAUGGCUCACGUCAGGAGAGCCACGUGAGGUUUUGGCCCGCCUUGAUAUCUCCGCUCCUCGUGAGCCUGCCUGGCUAGGCCACUCCCGAGGAGGUCUUGCGUCAUCCGCCUCGUGAGGCUUGGACCCUCGCGAGGGUCUUGGAUGCCUUGUUGAUGAAGAUGGGCCAUACGGCCUGCUGGCUUAGCCACGCUAUGGGCCGCAGGCAGGCAAGUCAGGGGACCCCCGUUCCCAGAACGCCGACAGUAGCCCCCGGGCCCAAGGUGCGCUCGGACUUGGCUUCGCGGCGAAGCCAAGGGUCAAGUUCGGAGCACCGCGGGCCCCAAAAGCCUGCGGCCUCGGUUGACGCGUGGCGAUCGAUUGGAUGUGGGCGUCUCCGCUUUCCCACGCUGCCUCGGCAACUACUUGAUCUGACAAAAGGCUGGCGCGGGCAGUUCUUUCCUUCAUUGCUUCCUCAUCGACUCGCUCCAGAUCCCCUUUCUCGCUCCUCGCCACCGCUACCUCCAGAUCUGCUCCAACUUUGCUCUGCAUCUGCAUCCCAUGGCGCCGCGCAAGGUCAAUACUUCCUCGGCACCGGCUUGGUAUGAGCCCGCUCUUGAAGCGCCCACCAUCACGGAGAAGAGCCUCGCCUCCGUGCGCCUACUGACGGCGGGGGAGAGGGAAGACGAAGCUCCGGCUCGCCUCCGACGAGCCGGAGCCUGAGGGGAGCACCUUCUUCCCCUUCUUCUCGAGCAGCGUCGCCGUCGGGUUGGUCCCUCCUUUCUCCGAUUUCUUUUAUGAAGUCCUCGACCACUACGGUCUGCAGGCGUUGCAUCUCCAUCCCAACUCUGUCCUCCUCCUGUCCAUCUUCGCCUACUACUGUGAGGCGUACCUGGGCGUUAUGUCAUCCGUGGCGCUCCUGCGCCAUUUCUUCUUCCUCCGUGUCAGCGAGAUGCACAUCUCCGGAUGCGCUAAUUUCGUUGCAUGCGGCAAGGCCAACUCGAUCUCGAGCACCGGGAAGGGGGCCGAUAACAUUCGAUCCAAAUGGGUCAUGAUGGACGCCAAGCACGCCGACCCUCGCCUGGCGUUGCCAACGGCGGCGCCCCCUUCCAACGGGGGGUGGCCCAAGGCGGAGCUUGCCGAUGAGCGGGCAUCGCUAGUGUUGGGGCAGAUGAUGACCGAUUUGAAGCCGGGCAAUGCGAGGCGGCCAAGGUAACGGGGGCGAUGCUCCUGAGGGAGUUCUUGAUGCUGCGGGUUGCCCCACUCUAGGCGCGCGCGCCCCCUGUGGGAGCUUGAAGAAGAGGGAAACAAGACCCGCCUGAGGCCGGGGGACCUGCCUGGCGAUGAAUUGGACGCUGUCCUACGCCUCAUAGUCGGGGACAACCAGGAGUACCCGCCUAGCGCCUUCGUUCCCUUGUUUCAACGCAGGGUCCGGGAGGAAUUCGUCGCCUCCAGGCCGACUUUUGACGUGCGCGGGCUGGUGCCGCCGGCGCUUCCGGGGGCUCCUGCGGCACAGAAACCGGUGGAGGUGUCUUCUGGUGAGUCCCGCGAAGAGGGGGAAGAGGGGGUGGACUCGGAGAAGACUCUGGAAGAGGUGGGGGAGACUUCCCCUCUGAGCAAGGCCGAGAUUCUCCGCGCCCUUCCUGACGGUGCCGAGGCCGACGCCUACCAAGGGGAGAGGGAGCAGCCCCUCAUCCCGACGAGGGGUAGGUCGUCGCUGGUGGCCCGCGGUGCCGCCUCUGCCCUGGCACCUCCUAGGGCUGGCUCCGGCUCUGCCUCUGCUCCGCCUGGCGCCGCCGGAGCCCGAACGCCUGUUCCUCAAGUCCCGAAGCUGUCAGGCUUCAAGCUUCCCAAGCGGACAGUGGAAUACAUCGCAGUGGAUCGGUAAGUGUCUUGAGCUUCGCCUUGUCCUCGUUUGUGCUCGCCAUUUCCUGAUGCUCGCCCUUGGUUGAUCAGGCCGACGUCUUCGGCGAAGAAGAGGAAAGAGGAUAUGGCGGCCGUGCCUCCCUCCGCGGAGAAAGGAGGCAGCAGCGCCCGCAUCUCCCCAGCCCGAUCGUCCUCGCGAGGCCAAGAGGAGCAUCGCCACGUGGAAUCAGCCCCCAUGGCCCCGCUGGCUCCGGAGGUGCCGGCACUUGGCACGGCUGAUGAGGUCCCAGCUGCUCCGGAACCCGUGAUCUCCCAAGUCCUGGUGACGAAGUCGCCUCCUCCCACUGUUGCGCCUCCACUCCCAGGUUCUGCUGCUCCUGCUGCUGUUCUGGAACGCGCUCUUUCGGAGAUAACCCAUCUGCAGGCGGAUCUCCUGAGCGCGGACCCAUGCCUUGUGGUCGGGCGCCUGGAGCUGGCCUCAGGCUGGCUCCACUCCGACUUGGUCGUUCGCGCGGCGCUGGGCCGGGCCGCUGCGGCUUCUGAGAAGGAGAAGCAGAGUGCCGCCAACGCCGCAGCCGAUCGCGAGGCGGCACUGAAAGACGCCAAGGCCGCCCGUGAUUGCUGCCAGGUGCUGGAGGACGAGCUACAAAGUCUGCGCGACAAGCAUGCCGAAGAAGCACGCUGCCGCCAAGCAAGGGAGGAGGAGAUGAAGGCCUGGGAGGACGCCGUCAAAAAACUGUGAUGUUGAGCUGGCGGAGUUGGGGAGGACGCAGGCCGCCGAGCGCGACCAGUUGGAAGAGCUGGAGCGGAAGGCGACGGCGAGGGAGGCUGAUCUCGAUGCCAAGGCGCGACUCCUGGCCGAAGACCGCGUGGCCUUCACCGAUCUCGAGAAGAGAUCUCGCCAGGCGCUGAAGACGUUGUACGAGCACGGCCUGGAGAAGUCGCUCGCCACUGACGAGGACGGCCCCGCCCAGCUGCGUCCUCUCUUGGUGGAGGCACUGGAGGAAGUCGUUGAUGGCGUUGGUCCCAUGGCGGAGGCGGAAGCUCGCGUCCUGUCUUCAGCUGCGUUGACCCGCGUCUUCAGCCACCUGCACCUUCGUGACCCCAGCGCGUGCCUUGACGAGCUGCUGGAGCCUGUUGCUGAAGAUCAAUGCGAGGCCGCCGCCGCAGCCGUGCAAGGUCAGGUGGAGGCCUUGCUGAAGAAGUUCCGCGGCUUUGUCUCCGCUCCUCUGUCCGGCGACGCCGCCGAUCCUGCGGCGGGUGGUGAAGGCGAGAACAUCGUUGCCCACGGGGAAGCGCCUUCCGCAGGCGAUGGCGACGUCCAGGGGUGACCUGCGGCUGUUUCUCCCGUUUCGUUCCUGCAACAUGUAUCAGGCCUCGUGGAGGCGUUUAGACUUUUCAUUUGGUACUGUGAGGACAAUAUGCUUGUAAUAUUUUCUUCGAGAUUUUGCGAUUUCCUUCCUAUUUGCUUUGCGUUCUGCGUCGGCAGAGCCCGGCCCCACGCAUACCUCAACCGCCAUUGGGCCGACCGGAGACCAGGACGAACCAAGGAGUGAGGGGCUACGUGACCAGUUAGGCUCCUGAGUCACGAUGCUCAGGAGUCCCCCUUGACGCGCAAACAGCCUAUAGGGAGAGUUCGCGAGGAUAGAUUAAUGUUCUACGUCGGCAGAGCCCGGCCCCGCGCAUACCUCAACCGCCAUUGGGCCAACUGGAGACCAGUACGGACCAAGGAGUGAGGGGCUACGUGACCAGUUAGGCUCCUGAGUCGCGAUGCUCAGGAGUCCCCCUUGACGUGCAAACAAUUUCCAUACUUGCCCUUGCCGAGGCCUCGGGAGGGGUGCGCGACGCCCAGGUCCGGGAGACCUGGUUGGGUGGCGUGCGCUGGGGCGCGACCCGAGCGGGUGCGACCCGAGCGCAGCCCCCGUUUCCAGCCCCCUCGCGUGGCUCUCCCGAGGGGAGGCGUUGAGGUGAGGCUGGACGCUGAGCUCUGGGCUCCCUGAGGUUGGUACGACCGUGGGGCCGCCCUCGGUUGUUUAUCACCAGCACGGAGCAUAGUGCUUCCUCUUGUGCAUGGGCAUAGCGCUCCUCGGCAGUGUCGUCAGCCAGCGCGGACCAUGGUGCUUCCACUUGUGCGUGAGAUGGGGCCCCCUCCGGGAGGAGCCCCCGGGGCGUGUACAGCCCCGCCCUGACACGUGGCUUGCACGGCAGGGCUGCGAGGUGUAUCUGGGCACUCGUGAGCCAGCGCGGGACUCACGAGGCCCUACCUCAAGGCGGGUUGCGCCUGGUCUUGGGCCUUGGUGACUGUGUGUUCCUGCAAGGCGGUUAGAUGCAAGCACUCUACGUCCUCAGGUCCCGGCCCUCGAGCGAGCUCAGCCGCCGCUGGUAUGCCAGGUCGCGAUGCCGUGGUCAAGGCCAGGGGUGAGGGCUGGAGAGCCAGUAAGAGCUCCUGAGUCGCGAUGCUCAGGAGCCCCCCUUUUAACGCGCAAGCGAAUUGCAUAGGAUGAACAGACUCGUGACAGGCAGCGAUCGAGCAGGCGAUAGCAGUUGGCAAGUUAAGCAUGAAAAGCAGAUCAACAUGGAUAAAUGCAGGAAGAUACAUGCCACCGGGUCCGGCCCGAGCGGCUUGGGGAUGAUGAAGCCCGAGGGGCGCCCCCAGCAAGGUAAGCUAAAGACAUAAGCAAAAGGGAUACAUGCCGCAGGGACGGACCCAUGCGGCCUGGGAAUAAUGCAGCCCGAGGGGCGCUCCCAGCUAAACGAGCUCGGAAGAUGUCACCUGGUUCUGUAGACGAAGUAGAGUCGGUGUGGCUGAAGGCGUGCGUUGAAGAAAUGACUCCUCACGAGCCACCGGAGUCCGGAGCCUCGGGAGGCUCUGGAGGCUCGGGAGGUUCCCUGAAGACCGUCUCCAUCUCUUCCAGGACGGCGUGGUACCUGGCUUCCUGAGCCGCCAGGACACGCCGCAUGUUGCACUGAUAGGCCGACGCCACGCUCGGCAAGCCGAAGGGCAUGCGAACGUAGAUGUGUGGCGGGCCCUCGCAGCGGCCCACACGCGAAGGCCAGAAGCGCUCCUGAGACGCAGCCCUGUUGAGCCCUGGGACGUUGAUGCAGACACGCAGCCCAGCAUCCUCGCCAGGAUGGGGGGCUGCGCCUCGUGAGCGGCGGUCGCCGCGCAUGGCUCCUGCAUCUUGCAGUUCCUGGGUGGUCUUGGUGAUGAACUCCUGGGUGGUGGGCACUCCUUGCCCCGUGCUCUCCUGAGGAACAUGUGUCGCGAAGCACGCUUCCAGGUAGUGCCCAAGCGCCUCCCUCGUGAGGUCGGCAAGGUCUGAGGCCCUCCAGAAGAGAGGCCCCGAGCCCUGCCUGAGGAGGGCGCCGGGCGCGCCUUCCUAUGCGACAGAGGGAGGCGCCCCUGGGACGGGCGCUGAUCCUGAUGAGGCUCCUGCCGCGACGCCAUCCUCCUGAGGUCCUGCGCGGCGCAGCUGCUUCUUCUUGGGGAUGGCCUCCAGAGGGCCCUCACUUCCGUUGUUGGGGUCGUCGAUUGCCGCAGCUUGGAAGGCGCGCUCGAGGGAGCAGACCGCAUCCCUCUAUUCACAUGGGACCGUGAUGAUUCCUCCGCUUCCUGGCAUCUUGAGGACAUUGUAGCCGUGAUGGGUGACUGCCAUGAACUGGGCCAGGGCCGGAUACCCGAGGAUGGCAUUGUACGGCAGGCGGAUGUGCGCGACGUCGAAGUCGAUGAGCUCGGUGCGGUAGUUCUUGUGCUCCCCGAAGGUGACAGGCAGGCGGACCUGCCCUAUCGGGGUGGUGGACUCGUCGGUCACUCUUGAGAAAGGCUUGCUGGGCUGGAGCUGUUCAUAUGGCACUUGGAGGUUGUCGAACGUGUCGACGGACAGGACGUUGAGCCCUGCGCCGCCGUCGAUGAGGGUCUUGGUAACCUGCACAUUGCUGAUGACUGGGGAACACGGCACCGGCGGUGGCCGCGCGUUUGAGCUGAUCUGCCGAGCUGAAAGUGAUGGCGCAUUGGGACCACUUGAGCGGGCGCGUGGCCUCGAGCUUGGGAAGCACCACGUUCACCUCGCGAGCGAACUGUUUGAAGAUGCGCUGAGAGGCUGGGGCCUGGGAGCCGCCCAAGGUGCAAGCGAUCGCACGCGGCUCCUGGAAGCCUCCAGCCCCCUCGUCCUGGUGGUGGUCAUCGUUCCUUCUUAGUGGCGGCAGUGGGGGAAGACCGGUGUUGCCCUGAGGGCGAUCCUCAUGAGGCGGGUCUCUCCAGGCACCCUCGCGAGGUUGGUCCUGCCAGCGGUCCUCGCGAGGCCUGUCGCGCUAUUCCUGGCGCGGGCCACGGUCGUCCCAGCGUCCACCCCCACGUCCUCCUCCGCGGCAGUAGCCCCGGUCACUACGCUCAGGGCGUCGACCGAAGCGUCCUUCUCGUAUGGCUCUGAGCUCUUGACAGUCGCCGGUGUUGUGGGUGUUCAGCUUGUGGAAGGCGCAGAACGGUCGGCUGUUCUUGGAAGACUCGGGCUGAUCCCUGCCCCGCUUGGUGUCGAACUCCGCUGCGAGCACAACCGCCUCCUUGCGCUUCACGUCCUUGGCCUUGGCUUUCUUCUCCUCUGCACCCGCGGCUGGCAGCUCUAAGAGAGAGAGACGCCCCUCCUCAGCUCUUGCGCACUUGGUCGCCAGGUUGAACAACUCCUGAGAGGUGCAGAGCUCCUCGUGGAUGGCGAGCUCUUCCUUCAUCUUGACGUCACGGACGCCGUCCGAGAACGCGGAGAUGAUGGCUUCGUCCGUGACCUUGGGGAUCUUGAGGCGGGUGUUAUUGAAGCACUGGAUGUACUUCUGGAGGGUCUCUCCUGGUUGUUGCUUGAUGCGGCGUAGAUCACCCGCGGCCGGCGGGCGGUCGCGAGUGCCUUGGAAGUUGGCGACGAAGCGGUCGCGCAUUUCGUCCCAAGAGGAGAUCGAGUCAUGCUGCAGGUUCAGGAGUCAGGAGCGGGCUCCAUCCUUGAGAGCCAUGGGAAACCAGUUCGCCAUGACUUUUUCGUCGCCGUUGGCCGCUUCGAUGCUCAGCUCAUAGCACUGCAGGAACUCCGCGGGGUCGGCGGUGCCGUCGUAGCGAGGAGGCAGAUUCGGCUUGAACUUGCCUGGCCAGGCGACGCUACGCAGCUCGGGGGUGAAGGCGCGGCAGCCGGCCGUGGUUGCCAGGGCCCGCUUCGGAGGUGGAGCUUGGUCUUGGCGAGGCCCACGUGGCGCCGCCGCGGGCGGCGCGCAGGUACAGCUUCUCGCGGCCGCGGGAUUUCUUGGCAGCUUCUCUCUUCGCGCACGGGCACCGGGCGUGGUGGAUCAUGCCGCGGGGCCGCGCGCCUUGGUGCCAAGGCACCAUCUUGAGGCAGGGGUAGUGGAGGCACGCCAUGAGCCUCGUCGCCCAUGGCUGGUUGAGGGGAGGUAGAGAGAGGGACGGCGCCGGAGAGCCCCCUACAGCGCGGACGAGCUCGGCGACACGGCCGAGCCACUCCUCAUAGAGGUCGUCGACUGGGCGGUAGCGCAAGAGUUCGUUCGCCGCAAGGAGCGCGGCGCGCGUGAGAUGGAGAACCGGCAGGGGUCAGCGAUGGAGUGGCGGUGUGGCCGUCCUGCCGCACCGAAGGGUGCAGCGAGGACGCCUGCUGCUUGUUCCCCGCCGGGCCGGUGGCAGCGUUGGCGACGGGAGACGGAGAACGACGAGGUGUCCCGCCGACGGGAGCCGUCUGAGCGACGCGGGCGGUGAGGGCAGCCCGAUGCUCAGCUCGAGCACGGCGAGCGUCCGCCAUGUAGACGACGGAGCGACGGAUCGACGAACUGAUGGAAGGGAAGCUACGGCGCACCCCUACCUGGCGCGCCAAAUGUCGGAUGUGGGGUUCCGGCAAACCCUUAAGGUUCGAACACUGGGGUGCACGCGAAGUCUUUCCUUCCUACCGAUCUAUGCCCUAGCUCACUAAGAUCUCGCGGACGAACUCGCAACACAGAAAGACACGAGGUUUAUACUGGUUCGGGCCACCGUUGUGGUGUAAUACCCUACUCCAGUGUGGUGGUGGUGGAUUGCCUUUAGGGCUGAUGAUGAACAGUACAAGGGAAGAACAGCCUCCUGAGGUUGAGGUGUUCUUGUGGCUAGGGUAGGCUCUCGAUCGGGUUGGAUCAAGCUAAGAUGAGAUGCCCCUACUAUGGUGGCUAGCUCUACUUAUAUAGGCCCUGGUCCUCUUCCCAAAUAUCGAGCGGGAAGGGAGCCAACAAUGGCGGGCAAAUUUGAAGGGGGACAGCUAGUACAAGCUAUCCUGACAAAAGCGAUCUUCGCCUGCGAAAAGCUCUGGUGGUGACGCCGUCUUGGGCUCCACGAUGACCUCCGUCUUGCCGUCCUCCUGGUCUCGGUCUCGCUGCACCAAUAUAGCAACCUUUGCCUGAUGCCUCGGUACUCUUCGCCUGCGCUGGCCUCCUUAGCACCAAAGAGGAAAUAAGGAUGCUGCGCGCGCUCGCGCCCGCCUGGCGCCCGCCUGGUGUCAUUCGUCAUGGCUCACGUCACGAGAGCCUCGUGAGGUUUUGCCCCGCCUUGAUAUCUCCGCUCCUCAUGAGCCUGCCUGGCUAGGCCACUCCUGAGGAGGUCUUGCGUCGUCCGCCUCGCGAGGCUUGGACCCUCGCGAGGGUCUUGGAUGCCUUGUUGAUGAAGAUGGGCCGUACGGCCUGCUGGCUUAGCCACGCUGUGGGCAGGCAAGUCUGGGGAACCCCGUUCCCAGAACGCCGACAUACUGGAUUGAUACCUUGGUUCUCAAAAACUGAGGGAAAUACUUACGCUACUUUGCUGCAUCACCCUUUCCUCUUCAAGGGAAAACCAACGCAUGCUCAAGAGGUAGCAGGUAUUCAUAUGCAAGACAUAUAUCAAGUGCUCUCAAAUCCAUAAAAGUAUUCAAUCCGAUAAAACGAAAUAUCAAAGGGAAAACUCAAUUCAUCACAACAAGAUAGAGAGGGGAAAACACCAUAUGAUCCAACUAUAUUAACAAAGCCCGCGAUACAUCAAGUUCGUGCCAUCUCAAGAACACGAGAGAGAGAGAGAUUAAACACAUAGCUACUGGUACAAACCCUCAGCCCCAAGGGUGGACUACUCCCUCCUCGUCUUGGUGGCCGCCGGGAUGAUGAAGAUGGCCACUGGUGAUGAUUUCCCCCUCCGGCAGGGUUCCAGAACGGGGUCUAGAUUGGUUUUUCAUGGCUACAGAGGCUUGCGGCGGCGGAACUUCUGAUCUAGGGUUAUCUUCGGGGGUUAUUGAAUAUUUGGGAAUUUAUAGGGCGAAGAGGCGUGCGAGAGGCCACCGAGGUGGGUACAACCCACCAGGGUGUGCCUGGGCCCCCAGGCGCACCCAGAUGGGUUGUGCCCCCCUCGGGGCACCGUCUCGUACUUCUUUGGCCCACUGGAUGUCUUCUGGUCCAAAAAAAUCUCCAAAAAGUUUCGUUGCGUUUGGACUCCGUUUGUUAUUGGUUUUCUAGGAAGUAAAAAACAAGCAAAAAAUGUAACUGGCACUGGGCACUAUGUCAAUAGGUUAGUCCCAAAAAAUAAUAUAAAUUUGUUAUAAAAUGAUUGUAAAACAUCCAAGAAUGAUAAUAUAACAGCAUGGAACAAGCAAAAAUUAUAGAUACGUUGGAGAUGUAUCAGCAUCCCCAAGCUUAAUUCCUACUCGUCCUCGAGUAGGUAAAUGCAAAAAACAGAAUUUUUGAUGUGGAAUGUUGCCUAACAUGUUCAUCACAUAUUAUUAUUUUUUGUAGCAUGAACAUUUGGACUUUUAUAUGGUUCAAAGAAAUAGUCUAGUUUUGACAUGAAGAUUUCAAUACUCAAGCAUAUCAACAAGCAACCAUGUCUUUCAAAAUAUCAACACUAAAGAAAGUUAUCCCUAGCCUAUCAUGCUUAAUCAUUUAUCCAUUCAUGAAACACACUCGCAUAUUAGCUACAUCCAAUGCUCAAGUACGAUCAUAGUGUCCCUUAGUUGGUGCUUUAUAAGAGAAGAUGGAGACUCAAAUAAAAAUAAAAAUUGCAUAAAGUAAAUAGAUAGGCCCUUCACAGAGGCAAGUAGGGAUUUGUAGAGGUGCCAGAUCUCAAACGAAAAAGAGAAAUAAAAACAUUUUGGGUGGCAUGCUUUUCCUGUCAACGAAAAUGAUCGAGUAGUUCCCAAUACUUUCCAUACUAGAUAUAUCAUAGGCGGUUCCCAAACAGAAAAUAAAGUGUAUUCCUUUUUCCACCAUUCUUUCACAAUCCAUGGCUAGCCGUAUCCACGGGUGCCUUCCAAAUUUAUUAUUUGAAAACAUAAAGUAAAUUCAUUUUUCAUUUCGGGACUGGGCCUCCCUAUUACCUUUACCUUACUCUCGUGCAAUGACAAGUGAAUAAACACUCAUCUUGAGAAUAACACAUCUAGCAUGGAAAAAUAUCAGCCACCCCCUACAGUUUCAUGAGCGGUACGAGCACACAAAAAGGAAAUUAUUUUGAAAAUUAGAGAUGGCACAUACAAAUUUGCUUAGAACGGCACAAGAAUACCGUAUAUAGGUAGGUAUGAUGGACUCAUAUGGCAAAACUGGGUUUAAGGAUUUUGGAUGCACAAGUAGUAUUCCUACUUAGUACAAGUGGAGGCUAGCAAAAAGAUUGAGAAGCAACCAACCAAGAAACGGAAAAUCACAUAAGCGAGCAUUGAGCAUAACUAACACCGAAUAAUGCACCACAAGUAGGAUGUAAUUUCAUUGCAUAACUAUUGACUUACGUGCUUGCAUAGGGAAUCACAAACCUUAACACCAAUAUUCUUACUAAAGCACAAUUACUCAUCAACAUGACUCGCAUAUCACUAUCAUCAUAUCUCAAAACUAUUACGAAGAAUCAAGUUUAUUUUGUCCAAUGAUCUUCAUGAAAGUUUUUAUUAUAUCCCUCUUGAAUAUCUAUCACUUUGGGACUAGUUUCAUAUGUUGCAAUUGCUUUUGACAAGCUCAAACAGAUUUAAGUGAAGAACACGAGCAUACAAAAUCUCAUGUCUCAAAAUAAUAUAAGUGAAGCAUGAGAGAAUUUCUUCAAAAAUUUACUAACUCUCAAAUAAAUCUAAGUGAAGCAUGAGAUCCUUUAUUCAAAAAUAUUAAAUCACACCGUGCUCAAAAAGAUAUAAGUGAAGCACUAGAGCAAAUGACCAACUACUCCCAAAAGAUAUAAGUGAAGUCAAGCGAGUAGUUAAGUGAAUGGGUAGCUAUGUGAGGACUCUCUCUUAUUUAAAAACUUUCAGAUCUAAAUAUUUUAUUAAAACAACAAGCAAAACAAAAUAAAAUGAAAUUCCAAGAAUAGCACAACUCAUGCGAACAAGCAAAAACUUAGGUUCAACCGAUACUAACCGAUAAUUGUUGAUGAAGAAAGGUGGGAUGCCUACCGGGGAAUCCCCAAGCUUAGAUGCUUGAGACUUGUUGAAAUAUUAAUUUGGGAUGCCUUGGUCAUCCCCAAGCUUGAGCUCUUGUGUCUUCUUCAUUCCUCUCAUAUCACGGUUUCCCUAAUUCUUAAAAACUUCAUCCACACAAAACUCAACAAGAACUCGUGAGAUAAGUUAGUAUAAAUCAAUGCAACACCUUAUCAUUCUCUACUGUAGCAAAUCACUAAAAUUAUUAUUCAACAUUGUAUACUAAAUGCCUCUGCAUAUUUAAUACUCAUAUCCUCAAAUAGAACCAUUAAACAAGCAAACAAUGCAAACAUAACAACAAUCUGCCAAAACAGGACAGUCUGUAAUGGAUCAAGAAGUAUCCAUACUUAUUUAACUCAAAAAAUUCUGAAAAUUUACCACACUGUAGAAAAUUUAUAAUAGCUUAUUUUGCGAAAAAUUCAACAUUUUAUCACAUUCUGACUUUCUCGGGAAUUUUUGCAACAGCGACAAACUUUCUGUUUUGAAACAGCAACUCAUAUACUUGCAAAAUAAGCAUGGUAAGCUAUCCUUGCCACUUUUAUUGAAAUAAAAGAUACAAAACAUUAUUCUAAAUAAACGCAAGCAAAUCCUGGCAAAAUAAAAUGAUGCUCCAAGCAAAACACAUAUCAUGUGACGAAUGAAAAUAUAGCUCCAAGUGAGGUUACCGAUAAUGUUGAAGACGAAAGAGGGGAUGCCUUCCGGGGCAUCCCCAAGAUUAGUUGCUUGGAUAUUCCUUGAAUAUUACCUUGAGGGUGCCUUGGGAAUGCCCAAUCUAAGGGUCUUGUCACUCCUUAUUCUCCUCAUAUCGAUAUCUCACCCAAAACUUGAAAACUUCAAUCACUCAAAACUUAACGGAACUUCGUGAGAUAGUUAGUAUGAUAAAGACAAAUCAUUCACUUCGGUACUGUUAAAAACAAGAUUCAUAAUUGUAUUCACACAAUGCCUAUUGUACCUCAUCAUUUCCACAAUUUAUAUUGAGCAAUAUAAGCCAUAGAAACUAGAAAACAAGCAAACUAUGCAUUGAAAACAGAAUCUGUCAAAAACAGAACAGUCUGUAGUAAUCUGUACUCCAACCAUACUUCUGCUACUCCACAAAUUCUGAAAAAUUAGGAAAACCUAGGUAGUUUUUAUAUCUAUCACCUGUAAAAAAAUUAGAUCAAAAUCACGUUCCAGUGAAUUUUAGAAAUUCCUGGACUGGGCCCAAAGUUUCUGUUUUUGCAUAGAAUCAAGUCAACUAUCAUCCACACUAUCCCAAAGGCUUUACUUGGCACUUUAUUGAAAAAAACUAUAAAAUAUGAUUAAUAAAGUAUCUUAAUCAUAUGAACACACAAAAACAGUAGGUAAAAGUGUUGGGUUGUCUCCCAACAAGCGCUUUUCCUAAUGCCUUUUUAGCUAGGCAUGAAGAUUUCAAUGAUGCUCACGUAAAAGAUAAGAAUUGAAACACAAAGAGAGCAUUAUGAAGCAUAUGGCAAGCACAUUUAAGUCUAACCCACUUCCUAUGCAUAGGGAUUUUGUGAGCAAAUAAUUUAUGGGAGCAAUAAUCAACUAGCAUAGGAAGGCAAAACAAGCAUAACUUCAAAACCUUCAACACAUAGAGAGGAAACUUGAUAUUACUGAGAUAUGUAAAAGUGUAUGCCCCUCUCUCAUAAUAAUUUUUAGUAGGAUCAUGAAUGAAUUCCACAAUAUAGCUAUCACAUAAAGCAUUCUUUUCAUGAUCCACAUGCAUAAAUUUUUUACUAUAUUCUCAUGAAUAGUGGGAGCAAACCCAACAAAACAACUAUCAUGAGAUUGAAAAUUAAAUCAUCAUGACAAGUUUCAUGGAUAUCAUUAUUUUUUAUAACAUACAUGUCAUCACAAUAAUCAUCAUAUAUAGGAACUUUGUUGUCAUAAUCAAUUGAAACCUCCUCCAAAAUAGUGGAGUCAUCAUUAAAUAAAGUCAUGACCUCUCCAAAUCCACUUUCAUCAAUAUAAUCAUCAUAAAUAGGAGGCAUGCAAUCAUCAUAAUAAAUUUUCUCAUCAAAAUUUGUGGGACUAAAAAUAUCAUCUUCAUCAAAUAUAGCAUCCCCAAGCUUAUGGCUUUGCAUAUCGUUAGCAUCAUGGAUAUUUAAUGAGAUUUUUUGUCAAACAUUUUAUAGAAUUCUUCCUCUAUCAAUUGAGCACAGUUUUCCUUUCCAUCAUUUUCACGAAAGACGUUAUAAAGAUGAACAAUAUGAUGCAACCUCAAUUCCAAUUUUUGUAGUUUUUUAUAAACCAAACUAGUGAUAACAAGAAACUAAAAGAUUCAAUUGCAAGAUCUAAAGAUAUACCUUCAAGCACUCACCUCCCCGGCAACAGCGCCAGAAAAGAGCUUGAUGUCUACUACACAACUUAUUCUUGUAGACUCGUGUUGGGCCUCCAAGCGCAGAGUUUUGUAGGACAGUAGCAAAUUUCCUCAAGUGGAUGACCUAAGGUUUAUCAAUCCAUGGGAGGCAUAGGAUGAAGAUGCUCUUUCUCAAACAACCCUGCAACCAAAUAAUAAAAAGUCUCUUGUAUCCCCAACACACAAAAUACAAUGGUAAAUUGUAUAGGUGCACUAGUUCGUCGAAGAGAUGGUGAUACAAGUGUAGUAAUGAAGGUAGAUAUUGAUUUUUGUAAUAGGAACAAUAAAAAAUAGCAAGGUGGCAAUUUAUAAAACGGAGCACAAACGGUAUUGAGAUGCUUGAAAAUGAGGCCUAGGCUCCGUACAUUCGCUAGUGCAAUCUCUCAACAAUGCUAAUCUAAUUGGAUCAUAUAACUAACCAUACCUCAACGGGCGAUGAAGAAUCACUCCAAAGUUCUUAUCUAGUGGAGAACAUAAGAAGAAAUUGUUUGUAGGGUACGAAACCACCUUAAAGUUAUUCUUUCCGUUCGAUCUAUUCAAGAGUUCGUACUAAAAUAAUGCAAGGUUAUUCUUUCCGUUCAAUCUAUCCAAGAGUUCGUACUAAAUAACACCAUAUGAUACGCAUCAACCAACUCUAAUGUCACCUAGAUACUAUAAUGUCACCACAAGUAUCCGUGAGUUAAUUAUACGAUACGCAUCAAACAAUUUCAGAUUCAUAAUACUCGAUCCAAAACAAAGAACCACAAAGAGUGCCCCAAGAUUUCUACCGGAGAAACAAGGACGAAAACGUGCAUCAACCCCUAUGCAUAGAUUACCCCAAUGUCACCUCGGGAAUCCACGAGUUGAGUGUCAAAAUAUAUAUCAAGUGAAUCAAUAUAACACCCCCAUUGUCACCACGGGUAUUCAUAUGCAAGACAUAUAUCAAGUGCUCUCAAAUCCAUAAAAAUAUUCAAUCCGAUAAAACGAAAUCUAAAAGGGAAAACUCAAUUCAUCACAACAAGAUAGAGAGGGGAAAACACCAUAUGAUCCAACUAUAUUAACAAAGCCCGCGAUACAUCAAGAUCAUGCCAUCUCAAGAAAACGAGAGAGAGAGAGAUUAAACACAUGGCUACUACUACAAACCCUCAGCCCUGAGGGUGGACUACUCCCUCCCCAUCAUGGUGGCCGCCGGGAUGAUGAAGAUGGCCACCCGGGAUGAUUUCCCCAUCCGACAGGGUCCCGGAACGGGGUCUAGAUUGGUUUUUUGUGGCUACAGAGGCUUGCGGCGACGGAAAUUCUGAUCUAGGGUUAUCUUCGGGGGUUUUGGAAUAUUUGGGAAUUUAUAGGGCGAAGAGGCGGUGCUGGAGGCCACCCAUGUGGGCACAACCCACCAGGGCGUGCCUGGGCCCCCAGGCGCGCCCAGGUGGGUUGUGCCCCCCUCGGGGCACCCGUCUGGUACUUCUUUGGCCCACUGGAUGUCUUCUGGUCCAAAAAAUCUCCAAAAAGUUUCACUGCGUUUGGACUCCAUUUGGUAUUGGUUUUCUGGAAGUAAAAAACAAGCAAAAAAUAGCAACUGGCACUGGGGGCUAUGUCAAUAGGUUAGUCUCAAAAAAUGAUAUAAAGUUGCUAUAACAUGAUUUAAAACAUCCAAGAAUGAUAAUAUAACAGCAUGGAACAAGCAAAAAUUAUAGAUACGUUGGAGCCGUAUCAAUUACCGAGUUCAGAUCCCGCAUGGGAAUCUUCGAAAUGCUAUUGGGAAGACGAAAGUACGAUAUCAGAAAGGUUCCCAGACGACAAUUGAGAAGGUCAGCGAUACUGGCCUCCCCUGGUCAUAGUAGCUUGUCACUAACACCUCUUUGCAAAAUUAAUCGCUAAAUGAGAGGUAGAGGUAUCCUUUUACAUUUCUUGCUCUUCAUGUUAAUCUAGGGGCGUGCUUGGUAGCUCGCAUAGAGGCCAACCAGUCCGGCACGGGACAAAAAUGGGUUGUUUGGUAGUCUGCGUUCACUAUUUGGCCCGCAUUGCACGAACACUAAAGCACCUCUCAGCCAGGCCCGCUGGGAACGCUCAAAUCAGCAGUUUUCAGUGAGCCAGGCUGAGGUGAGCCACAUCGAGCGCACUUGGUGGGCCCCCUUGUUGGAAAUAUGCCCAAGAGGUAAUAAUAUUAUAUUAUUAUAUAUCCAUUUUCCUAAUUAAAGUUUAUAUUCUAUGGUAUAACUGCUAGAUCCUGAAAUAUGUGAUUCAGUGGAAAACUCAUAUGCACGUGCGGAAUGAUAAACGGUAAAGAUUAGGUUCCUAGUCUUGCCUCUAAGACUAGCUCAAGUGUUGUUGGUGAUCAUGUUUUUCAAAUCUUAGGAUAUUGUUAAGCGUAACGAUAGUCCUAAAACAACAUUAAGAGUGAAGUUAGAAAAAUGGUCAUAUUGAAUCAACCCAAACUUGUUUGUUAUAAUUUGAGAUAAUAUCGUCUGAAAUCAAUUGUUAAACACGGAUUGUUAACAUGUGGUUUAGUUUCUUAGACCAUGAGAGUAUCGUAGUCACUUCUUACCGUACAGUGAACUUUGGGGUUGCUCAAACAUCAUCAGUAACAUGGUAAUCACAACGACAACUUACAGGUUCAUCGAAAAGUUGAGUAGGUACUAGAUAGCUCAAGAGUGGAUUGCUCCUUCGACGAUGGACAUAUAUUUUUAGGGCCCUCUCGGUGUAUUCUUAAGUAAAAGCAAUAAAUGAGAGAAAGAGGAAAAUAGACUAUUCUUAUAGCCAACCUUAUAGCUAACCCUAUUAUAUGGGUAAUUAAUAAUGCCGGCUCUUGAUGUCGAUCAUAACAAUUUAUAUGGCCAGCUGCCGUAAAACCCCACUUUGGUGCACAUGUUUCAUUGUGCAAUAUACUUUGAAUAGUGCCAAAAUGGCAUUUCGAAGUGUCAAAAUAUUCCCAAAAAUAUGGAAGUUCACUACACACAUGCAAAUUUGUGUUAUAAAAAAAACCAUGUGAGCUACACAAAAAGGGCAAAAAACGUGAUUUUGAAACAAUAAAGAGUGCAUGUACUAUUCACUAUUCAGAAAUCACCAUGUUGUCAUUUUUGUAUAGCUCACAUAUUUAGCUAUUUCAUCACUAAACUUUACAUGUAGAAUACGGAUGCAUAUGAACAUAUACAAUUUUUUUAAAAAUAGACUGUGAUAAGAUAUUCAAAAUAAAAUGCUUCAAUGCACCUCGGCUCCAAAAGCUCACUCUGUAGUUGUCGAUUAUUAGCCUUGAUCUGAAAAAAUGAGACCAACCAGGAUAAUCCAUGUUAGUGUUUUCUAAUAAAAUAAACUCCAUGAGCGCCACGCCUUAGAGCCUCUAAUGGCUAAUUUUUUUAAAUAAUACAUUUUUUAUUAAAUUACAGAAAUAAUACGCCGAAAAUAUUAUUUUCAAAAAUAAUACACCGUCGGCCCGCUGCAGGCCGACUGGACCUAAUCGGCCCACAGCAGGCCGAUCGGCUACCAGCAGGCCGACUGCAGGCCCGGCUGGCACGCGGCGGCCUCUGGUUGGUCGGGCCACGUCGCGAGGGGGAGGGAUUGGGCUGUCGGCGUGGGUGCGCCCCUGUCGGCCUACCGCGGGCCGAUCGGCCAGCUGCUGGCCGACAGGGUGCUGCCACCUCGCGCAGCUGGCCGGCCCGUGCCUUAUCCUCCCCUUCCUCCCUUCUUCUUCUCCCCUUCCUCCCUUCUUCUUCAGUUCUUUUGUGUUCUUACCUUCUCCUCUCUCUACACAAAAAUGCCACCAAUUUAUACACCUAAAUGAGCAAGUUUUUCGCAAUUUUGGCACCGUGAAUGGAUUCAACUCAGUUAGGGCAGCCAAAAGAGGUCUCGAUCUACUGAUGGGGUAGCUCGUGGUGGUCGUGGUGAGCAUUUUGGUGGAGGUGGUGGUGGUGAAGUUGGGGCAGUGUGGUGGUGGUGAAGUUGGGGCAGUGUGGUGGAGGUGAAGCUGUUGUUCGUCGUUCUUCGUUGGAGGCGGAGCACCGGCAGUUUGGUGGCCGCCGUUCGUCAUUCUUCGUUCGCACGCACGCUUCAAGGGUAUAUUUCAGCCCACAUUUUAUUUUUCGUAGGUGCUCCGGUAGUAUUUGUUAAUAUGUUUCGAUGUGAAAUAAAUUAGGUGUGCGAUUAUUGUUAUUUGCCCCGGUAGUAUACGUAAAUAUAUUUAGAUGUCAACUAAUUAGUUGUGUAAAAAUGUGUAGUUGCUCCGGUAAUAAUCCGUACUAUAUGUGGAUGUCAAGUAUUUAGGAGUGUAAGUAUUUGUAGUAGUUCCGAAAAAAGGUCCGUAAUAUAGGCAGUCCAGUCAAAUAUAUUAAUCUGUCAAUAUUUGUAGUUGCUACGGCAAAUAUUCGUAAUAUACUUGUAGGUGUGUGAAUUGUAUUGGUUGCUCCGUUAAUAUUCUGUAAUAUAUAGCUAGGUAAUAUAUAGACAUGUCUAAUAUUUGUUAGUGGGGAUAUUAAGUUGUUGCUUAAUACUUGUAUUUCGUUGUUGAAAAAAAAAUAGGUGAGUCGAGAUGUCCGAUGUAGUGAAGUUCAGAUUUUACUAUGGUCCUGGUACUGUCCAAACAACUGAGUUGGGAGCAGAUCUGAGUGAAUUUACUCACAUAGAGGUGGCAAUGAGUGCACCACAAACAUGGUCUGUCAGUCAGUUGAAAGAAUGGAUUGCGGCAAGUUUAGGUCUUGAUACUGAAACACACACCGUCGGUGUUCAUGCAUUGUGGACACGGUCAAGUUCAAAAAUUUACUUUUAUUUGAGGCCAAUAGAGGGAGACUCCGAUUGGGUGCGGUGGUUACAAGGUUGUGAACGAAGGGGAUGCAAUCCUGUUGCUUUAGUGCUUCCCGUCGUGAAGGAGGUCACUGCACAUGAAGGCGAGGGUGGCUACGAAGGACAGAGCAGUCAGGUAGAAGGAGGAAAUGCUUAUGGUUACGAACAAGGACAGAGCAGUCAGGUAGAAGGAGGAAAUGCUUAUGGUUAUGAACCAGGGCAGAGUAGUCAGGUAGAAGGAGGAAAUGCCGAUGGUGAUUACAAUGGCGAGGUGGACGCUGANNNNNNNNNNNNNNNNNNNNNNNNNNNNNNUGACAAUGGUAUGCAAGAACGCAGAUUGUCCCGCCAGGGUGCACGGCUUUCUCCCUAAGUAUGGCACAAGUUGGGUGAUAAGUGACUUAGUUAAUCACACUUGUCUUAUUCCCUGCAUCCCUCAAGAUCAUGCCAACCUUUCAUCCACGCUUAUUGCUCGAUUGUUUUACGAUGAGAUAGUGCAGGGCAAAGCUAUGGAAGUGAAGGCAGUCCAGACAAAAGUCUUCGCCAGGUUCAAGUACAGAAUUUCUUAUGGCAAGGCUUGGAGGGCUAAGCAUGCGGCGCUUGAGAGGAGAUUUGGUUCUUAUUUUGAUGCAUAUGACUCUGUUGUCCACCUCCUCCACACCCUGCAGCAGCGGAAUCCAGGCACCUAUAUCGAUAUCCAAGACAUGUUCAUGGCAGAGUUCCCAACUGUGAGGGUGUUGCAUCGUCUCUUCUUCUCUUUCGGUGUAUGCAUCGAAGCUUUCAGGCAUUGCCGACCGGUGAUAUGUGCUGACGGUACUUUUCUCACAGGCAAGUACAAGGGUCAGAUCCUGACAGCCAUAGGUCAAGACGGCCAAAAUCAAGUCGUCCCACUGGCAUUUGCUUUUGUGGAGAGUGAGAACAUUGAAAGUUGGACAUGGUUCUUCAGGCAGUUGAAAAUAUCAGUUGUGAAGGAGAAGCCCAAUGUGUGCAUCCUUCAUGACAGGCAUGCAGGUAUACUCAGUGCGAUAAGGACACUAACAAACCCGGGCCCCGAGGAACAAGUUCCAUGGCAGGACUUGCAGAGCCGUUGGUGCAUGCGCCAUCUGGGGGCUAAUUUCUUCUCGCAGUUUAGAAAUAAGAACCUGAUGAAUCUGUUCAAAAAACUCUGCAAGCAGAACCAGUUAUGGAAGUACAAUUUGAUACGCGACAGACUUAAUGUGUGCACGCAGAGACACGUGAGGGACAGGAAAGCUGCAAGAGAUGCAGCGGUGAGGGCACAUGUUGAAGCAGUAGCUGCACAGUUGGCAACAGGAACAGCGGCCGUGGAGGAGGAGCCUGUUGGGCUAUGUGACCUGCCAGGCUUUGACCCACCUGGUACUAGGAGAAGGCUCGGGAGGUCGAUUAAAACCUUCGAGCAGUGGAUAGAGCAUGAGCCUCUGGAGAGGUGGUCUUUGCUACAUGACACAUAUGGAGCAAGGUACGGUGUCAUGACAACGAACCUCGCGGAAACAUACAACUUUGUCCUCAGAGGAAACCGGGCAUUGCCACUUACAGCCAUCGUUGAGGGUAUUUUCUAUGGCACCGUCAAGUAUUUCAGAGACAGACGUCAAAUAGCAGAGCAGCAUAUCUUGAACAACCCAAAUACACGGUACUGUGAAAGAGUCACGAAGUACAUGGACAAGAAGAUGCAAAAAGCUAGGUCACACACUGUAGUCGCCAUCGGUAAUCAAGAAAGAAGGUUUGAGGUCCGCUUAGCCAACAACAAAUUCGGAUGUGCAAAUGAGUUGAGGACGCAUGAGGUGAAAAUUGGCAAUGAAGCCUGGCCAACGUGUGAGUGCACAUGCAAUAAACCGAAAUUGCUUCACCUACCUUGCUGCUUGCGGGCAGCUUGGAAUGGACGCAAUAUCGUUUGUGUCCCCAUAUUUUCUGAAAGAGUCUGUCCUCAAUACCUGGACAGGUGAGCUGAUGGGUUUUCGAUCAAUGGGUAAUUUCAACAGCAUCAACCCCGCCGAAAGGCGUUACAUUCCAAACCCAGAGCAUAUGCGUACAAGUAGAGGCAGACGGCAGUGUCAGCGCAUCCGAAAUGAUAUGGAUGAAUCUGAAGCAGGAGGUCCGACUAGGCAAUGCAUUCUAUGCAAUGAAUUUGGCCAUAGGGACACUAAUUGUCCCACUUUCGUCACUGGGCGUGGACGAGGCAACCAGGGAAGAAGAGGAGGUAGAGGCAGUAGAGGAGUAAGGGCGAGAGGAAGAAGCUAAGCUAGUAGUAGUAUGUUCUGAAUUUGUAUUAAGUGUGGUGUGGCACUAUGUUCUGAAUUUGUAUUAAGUGUGGUGUGGCACUAUGUUCUGAAUUUGUAUUAAGUGUGGCACUAUGUUCUGAAUUUUUAUUAAGUGUGGCACUAUGUUCUGAAUUUGUAUUAAGUGUGGCACUAUGUUCUGAAUUUUUAUUAAGUGUGGCACUAUGUUCUGAAUUUGUAAUAAGUGUGACACUAUGUUCUGAAUUUUUAUUAAGUGUGACACUAUGUUCUGAAUUUUGUAUGUGCAGGAAUGUCGGGAUUGUGGUUGCUGAAUGGGGACAUUGAUAGGGGUCAUCGUGCUGCGAUAUGGUAUGAGCGCAAGCUUGAGCCUCUGGUCACUCGCACUCCUAAGGAAAACUGGAAGAUACACUCAGGAUGGCUUCAGCGGUACGUGCUUUAUUAAUUUGCACACUGACAUGCAUAUUAAUGGUUGAAAUGGGAGACACUAACUGAGAAGUUCUCUGAUGAAGGUUGAAAUGGGCCGGCCUUUUACCUUUCGCGCGUCUGGUUGAGUCUAUCCCGGGUGAGAAACGCCUCGCCAUCGAUGGGUCUUUGCUGAGCUGCUUAGUGGACCGUUGGAGGCCAGAGACCCACACGUUUCACUUCAGAUGGGGAGAGAUGGCUCCUACUCUAGAGGAUGUGUCACUUUUGCUCGGACUACCGUUGGCAGGUCAUGCCGUAGGACCGUUGGACGCACCGGCUGGUUGGGAGCGAACUCUUACACAACGUUUUCAUGGUGUUUUUCCGGAUGCUCCGGAUCCGGUAUGGGAGCAUCACGGACCUAAGUAUGAGCGGUUGCUAAAUUUCCGGGUAAUUUCCCCUACCUAUUAUCUUCAAGUUAUCGUGCAUACAGUUUUACAGAAAAUAAUUGCGGCUUACUAAAACUUUCUCUUCGCUUAAUGCAGAUCCAGAACUUCCGGGCGCCGUUGACUGCGGAACAGAUCACUCGGAGCCUGGAGGCCUACUUACUGUGGCUUUUCGGCAAGGUGAUGUUCACGGAGAACCAUGUCACCACUAUUAGCGCCCUCUACAUCCCUAUGGCACUCGAGAUAGCGAGCGCUCAGACGGCGGAUCAGAUCAGACAGAGGAGUUGGGGUUCGGCGGUCUUAGCGGCUACAUACCGAGGUAUGUGCAACGGUUGCCAGCUUACAUCGAGAAAGCCAGCCCUUCUUGGAUGCCCUCUAUUCCUACAGCUAUGGUCGUGGGAGAGGUUCUCUAUAGGGCGACUAGAUGUACGUGUUCAUGAGCCUAUAGAUGCCAUGUUUGAUGUUGACGGCAUCGACAUGCCUACUUUCGGUCUGUGUUGGACUCGUCGCGAGGUAUGCACCGUGUUGUAGUUUAAUGCAACUUUUUUCUGCACAAGAGAUAGUUCAAUGCUAGCGGCUACUAACUUUUCUUCUCUGCAGAGACGCUUUGCUAGUGAUCAGACCAGGAAGGCAUACACAGCAUUGAACGAGCAGUUCGAUGCGUACACCAGGGUCAUCUGGCAGCCCUACACGGAAGCAGCCAUACAAGCAAGAUACCCUGCUGGUAUGUCUGUGCUAUGCACAAGGGACCGAGAUUACUGGAUGACAAAAUCUAAGAUCAUCUUCGAUGUCUUCGUCGAGGAGAUGGCACAACAGAGGGUUAUGAGGCAAUUUGGUCUUCUGCAGUUGGAGCUACCUCCCCCUAUAGAGAACCCGGUGCCAGCACACAUCCACAGGUAUUAACCAGUUUUUCAAUGUUGCAUUAUCUUUCAUAGUACUCCAUUCGAAGCUUUAGGUAAUUGUUGAACACACACCACAAUUUUAGGACGACAAGGAAGGGCAUGACCAGGACAACUGCUGACUGGCUAGUUAGACUACAGCCGUAUGUUAUAGAAUGGGAGACAGCAAACACAAAUCUAUGGCACGAGAAUCACAAUUUCGAUCUCGAUGAAUUCAAUCUCUAUUUGCGGCGCUACAUGACCGGAACACGGUUACGCAUUAUUGAGUACUCCCACCCAGAGGAGAUACCGGAUCCUACUCCGUCGGAUAUGUACCCGAGCUAUGAUACUUCGGGCUCUAGGCAGUACGCGGUAAGAUAUAUUUUCUUUACGUAAUGUUGUCACAUACUUUGACGUGCAAGAGACAGACAUUAUUAAUCGUCAUGGAAAUUUGCAGGCUACCUUGACACGCGAACUCUACGACGACGUGACCACCUUUGGACGAUCACUAUCGUCUGGACCUCUUCUUCAUCAUCGUCCAGUGGUACAGCCCUUCUUGGAAAGAAUUCAGAAUAAGAUACGGACUGUGUACGAGGCUAUCACGUGCACCCGGAGAACCGAUGUUGUUCAGCACCAGCAGGAGCAGCCGCGUCACUCCAUGCAUCGACAUCAACCACGUCCACGUCUAGCACAUCAGCCGACAACCAGGCCACUACGUGGCACCCGCAGCACUAUGGUCCCACGUCGAGCUUCGUGUUUUCUCCACAGCCACAGCAACACGGUCCCUCGUCGAGCUUCGUGUUAUCUCCACAGCCACAGCAGCACGGUCCCUCGUCCAGUUUCGUGUUUGAGCCAGAGCAGACGUCACAACCAGCAGGUAUGUGUCUUCAUAUUUAUUGUUUUCAAUAUUAAUUGACGCAACCUCAUUCUUCAUGAUGAAACGUUCCAUCGCGUAGGAGCCUAUGGAUAUCAGGCGUCUAUGUCGGCAUCACAUGAUACGUGGGGGAGUGAUCAACAUCCCGAGGAGAACAUACAGGCUCAGAUGUCGCAGCACACCCAGUGGAUGAACAUGUUUUCGACUCCUCCACCAGGCCCCACACAGGAUACACAACAUGACCAGGGAGAGUCUGAGAUUCCUCCUCGUCACAUUAGGGCACCCGACAGGUUGGGAUGGUCGCCGCUUCCAGAUCCACCUCCCCGCCAGGCCAGACGUCGUCACUGACGCUUCUAUCUAUCAGUAAAGACAUUACCAUCUAUUUAUGUGUGAGACUUAUGUCUAUUCUAUGUAUGAGUCAUUUAUAUUCUAUGUAUGAGACAAAUGACUAUGUACUUAUGUACGAGACAUAUGCCUACUCUAUUUUAGUACUCUGUUAUCCGAACUACAAGAUCAUAUUUAGAUAGAACAUAAUAUUCAUACAACGAGACAUUACAAACAACUAGAUAGAAGUACAUCUAAAUUAAAUGGUACGUAACUGAACUCACAACAUACAGCAUAAAAACUACAUGAAGUCAUCAUCGUCAUCCUCGAUCGAUGCAGAACUCUUGCCCUUCGACGAUGAAGAACUCUUGCCCUUCGACGAUGCAGAAACCUUGCCCUUCGAUGAUGAAGAACCCUUUCCCGCCAUAUGUUCGCGCCAACUAUUUCCCGCCACCCGUUUCCCGCCACCCGUUUCCCGCCACCCGUUUCCCGCCACCCGUUUCCCGCCAACCAUUUCCCGCCAACCCUUUCCUGCCAUACCACAGUCGUUCUUUCCCGCCAUUUUCUCCUCUCUACCUAUAAAACCCCCUUCAGACGGAGGUGGAUAAGCAUUGCAAUGUGGUGGUGGUGAAGUUGGGGCAGUGUGCUAGAGGUGAAGCUAUUGUUCGUCGUUCUUCGUUGGACUCGGAGCACCGGCAGUUUGGUGGCCGCCGUUCGUCGUUCUUCGUUCGCACGCACGCUUCAAAGGUAUAUUUCAGCCCACAUUUUAUUUUUCGUAGGUGCUCCGGUAGUAUGGCUAAGGGGUAGGUUAGGUACUCAAUGCGAUUUGUGUGUUGCAGAUGGCUAAGGGUACUCAAUGGGUGCUUAGCCCUAUUGUUCAUGUCCAAGGCUUUUCUCCAAGUGUUGUGCAAGUUAGUGAAGUGGACCUCACUUUUGAUUGGUUGAAGACUAAAUUCAUGUUGAAGCAAGGGUUGAAGGAAGACGAUUUUGUGUACUACGUCAGCAGGAAGCAGUCAGAUGGCCCUGGGGAAAGAAAAUUGAUUGACAUAACUGAUGAUGGCAAGAUUCAAGAAAUGUUGAGCGAAUGGGAAUGGAAAAGGGUUGUUGAGUUGCAUUGCUACAGGAAACCGAGUUAUAUGUGAUGAAUUUGUCAUUCGAGAUCCGCCUCUCCGCCAGGCCAGACGUCGUCACUGACGCUUCUAUCUAUCAGUAGAGACAUUACCAUCUAUUUCUGUGUGAGACUUAUGUCUAUUCUAUGUAUGAGACAAAUGACUAUGUUCUUAUGUACGAGACAUAUGCCUACUCUAUUUUAGUACUCUGUUAUCCGAACUACAAGAUCAUAUUUAGAUAGAACAUAAUAUUCAUACAACGAGACAUUACAAACAACUAGAUAGAAGUACAUCUAAAUUAAAUGGUACGUAACUGAACUCACAACAUACAGCAUAAAAACUACAUGAAGUCAUCAUCGUCAUCCUCGAUCGAUGCAGAACUCUUGCCCUUCGACGAUGAAGAACUCUUGCCCUUCGACGAUGCAGAAACCUUGCCCUUCGACGACGCAGAACCCGGAAGCGGCGGCAUGAAGAUAUCAACUUCGUCCUCGCUCUCCUCAGUCCAUAAACAUGGAUUAUUUGCUGCAAUCCUUCUGAAAGUUUCACUCUUCGGCACCACUACCUUCUUCCACCUGUCAUGCAACCGAAGAAGUUCUUUACAUACCUCCUCAUAGGUCCUUUCAGGCCACCCAGACCUACGUAAUUGGUGAGCCAACUCAUUCAUUAUGGUGUCACUACCGGUGAGUUCGUCCCAUGGAACUAUCCUAUUAUCCAUCCUGAAAUCGGUAGCUAGCCUCAGAAGAGUCCUGCUCAUCCCAGGGUGAAAACUACGAUCGAAAGGAUAAUGGGACAUCUCAACUACACUACACUGCAAUGCUUAUCCACCUCCGUCUGAAGGGGGUUUUAUAGGUAGAGAGGAGAAAAUGGCGGGAAAGAACGACUGCGGUAUGGCGGGAAAGGGUUGGCGGGAAAUGGGUGGUGGGAAACGGGUGGCGGGAAAUAGUUGGCGCGAACAUAUGGCGGGAAAGAACGACUGCGGUAUGGCGGGAAAGGGUUGGCGGGAAAUGGGUGGUGGGAAACAGGUGGCGGGAAAUAGUUGGCGCGAACAUAUGGCGGGAAAGGGUUGUGCGGAAUACGUCAUAGUUUUACAAAAAAAACCAGGAAUCAUUCGGAAAAAAAUGGUGGCAUGCACCAGUCGGCCCACAGCAGGCCAACUGAGCCUAGUCGGCCCGCUGCAGGCCUAUCGGCCAACUGCAAGCCGACUGGACCCUGUCGGCCAACUGCAGGCCGACUGGACUUGAUCUGGUGGCCGACAGCCCAAUCGGCCAGCAGCAAGCAGAUGGGCCUCCAGUCGGCCUGCUGUGGGCCGAUUAGGUCCAGUCGGCCUGCAGUGGACCGACGGUGUAUUAUUUUUUAAAAUAAUAUUUUCGGCGUAAUAUUUCUGUAAUUUAAUAUAAAAAUAUAUAUUAUUUAAAAAAAAUUGGCCCUCUAAUGUGGGUGUCUUGGCUGCGAACUCAUGCGCCAAACCAACGAAGUGACGCCCCGUUCUCCUAUUAGCCUUGAUCUAAUCAUGCACGACCGAGAAGCACAAAAUCCCGACAAAUUGCUAUCCAUGGGUCAUGUACCCUUAAUAAUCUGGAUAGUGAUCUCCAUAAACCGAUACCAGAAAACAAGAAAUCAUACGAUUGAUUACACAUCGUAGGUAUAUCUUCGCGCCUGGAAAACUUCCACGCUUCCUCCAAACGGAACACACGAACGGGAACGCCCUUUAUAUUACCACGUUUUGCGCGUUGCUAAAUAUGUUGCAUCGCACAGUUGCUAGCUGGCCUAAUUAAUACAGUCGACCAGGGUGCUUGUACCGCACGAAUCACUCACCAUCGGCAUCCAUAUAUUUGGCGUUGAGAUGACUGGAAUCUGAGAAUUAAAGCUGUCCCUUUUUCCCUUCAAAACAUAUCCAGACGUUCGUAUACACACAAAAUGGAGAGUUGGUGGUUGGCUCUUGUACCGUUCGUAUACACACAAAAUGUAGUAGAGUGGUAGUUGGCUCUUGUGCCCCCAGGUGUUGUCCCUGACCUUUUUUUAAACGAAAAUUAAUAAUGCCCACAAACAGGCAUAGCAAUCACAAGGUUUAAGGUAGGAACGGAAUUGAUCUGUAUAACAGUGCUCAGGUAGGAAUUACACGGCCAAGGCCAACACAGAGCAUAAGGAUAACAAAGAACUAUCGGUAACGAAAUCGUCCAUGAAAAGAGGCCACCCAAGUGAAGGUCUCAUGCCGGUUCCUGCACAGCUAUGAAGCGUCCCUGGCUGCUAUCCAGCAACGCCCGGACGGGGACCACGUGAAGGGCAAGAUGGUGCUUGUGCCCGCUUCGAGGGCGGCACCGGCAAUGCAUCAGGACACCGCGCCAUCACCGGACAGCAAGUGGCAAGCCCCGGCACCUGGGCGGGUUAAACUGAACGUCGAUGGGUCCUACUGUCCCGCUUCUAGUGGUGCGGGGGCAGGCAUGAUCUUGAGAGAUAGCAAUGGAACGAUCAUUUUUGCGGCGUGCAGAAACCUACUUUCUUGUGCAGACCCUUUGCAAGCAGAGUUGGCGGCUUGUCUGGAGGGCCUCAACUUUGCCAUGCAAUGGUCACCAUUGCCGGUGGACGUGGAGAUGGAUUGCCUGGUCGCCGUCCAGGCUAUCCAGUCGACGACAGACGACAAAUCAAAACAUGCGAUGAUGAUUAUUGAAGUUAAGCGACUUCUUGGUGAAAGGAGCACGAUUGCUCAUAUUAGUAGGAGCCAAAAUUGUGUUGGGCAUAGACUAGCUAUGUUUAGCCGAGUAGAAGCUAGGACUGCCGUUUGGUUAAAAUCUAGACCUGCUAAUGUACUGGACCUGUGUAUGGAGGAUCUUCCUCCAGGCUGAGCAAUGAAAUUCCCUUUCACUCCGUAAAAAAAAGGAUAACAAAGAACAUGGCCGAGGCCAAACAGGAAGAGCACGCAGGCUCAACAGUAAAAAAUAACUAGGGACUAAGCCUCCAUAGGAAUGACGCGCAAUACUUCGGAUGUUCCUAUCUUGUCCAUUCUCGUUAGCGUAACUUCAGUGUCGUGCCGUUUCGCCAACGGAGUCCAUUGCUGCAAGUAAACAUGGCGUUUAAAAAGACAAUCAGCUGGGUGCGAGGAGAAGAUCGCUUCGAUGAUGAUUUUGUUCCUAAUCGUCCAAAGUGCCCAAAGCAACGCCCCUACACAGCGCCACAUGAUCCUACGGUUGGAACCAUGCUGGGCGCGGAUAAUGUUAACCAGGUCAGCUCCGAAAGUCGGGUUCCACUGCUGUCACGAAACCUCGCACACCACACUCAGCGCAAAGCAAGCAAGGUGGCAGCAGAAGAAACAUGGUUCGCGUCUUCCUCCGCGCCGCACACAGAACACAAACCAUCAAAGGGCCCUUGCCUCUUUGCGAUGUUGGGCGACGUGGAUAGACGGUUACAGAACAUUUGCCACAGAAAGAUUUUGAUUUUUAGAGGCAAGCAACCUUUCCAUGGGCCCAUAGCUAUGUACAGAACCGGCCCUUGCGUUAGCCUAGCGUACAGGGAUUUGACCAUGAAUUGAUGCUAAAACAUGAGCUCCCAAGAAAUCAUGUCCUGGUCUUCAGAUAUAGUUGCUAAGACUAGCACACAACUCCGCCCAGCAGAUCCCUUCUGCCGGCAAUAGAGAAUGUUUAAAACAAAUGGCCGAAGGCGAGGAGUGUAUUGCCGCUGCCACCAAGAUAUCGGUGUCGGUGGCCAUCACGAAUAGAGAUUGAUAGUGUAUCCAUAGUGGGCCACUGUCCGUCCACGUAUCCAACCAAAGACGGAUUGAUCUACCGUUCUUAACGUGAAACUGGGGACCUAAAGUAAACGUAGGAUUGACAGCCUGGAUCUCAUUCAAGAAGGCCGAGCCACGACACGUUGCCUCAAAGAACGUGCCGUUAGGGAAGUACUUUGCUUUCAACCGGUCCGCCAACAGACCAAACACGUUCUGGGAAAGCUUCCAAAUCCACUUAGUGAGAAGGGCCAUAUUCAUCAUCUUAGAGUUCGUCGAGCCCAAGCCUCCUUGCAUUUUCGGACGACAUACAACAUCCCAUUUCAGCAAAUGGUACUUGCAUUUGAUCCCUGCUCCUUCCCAUAAGAACUUGGAUUGGGGCGUGUCUAGCUUGGCAUGGACACCGUCGGCAUAAAAAAACAUAUAUACCCAUAGUAAACAAGGAGAGAGAGGACAUGCUCGAAGUAGUGAGAAUUAGUCUUGCCCUAGAAGACACGAAACGGCCUCGCCACGGACAAACACUACCCUCCAACUUGGAGUUCAAUUGCUCACAUUCAUUCUGAACUAUUUAUUUUUAUCAAGAUUUCUAAGUUUUAAAUUAUUCGAAUUCAAACAAAAAAUUCAUUGAUUUGUCGAAAGAAUUUACGUUCAUUCAUUCAAACCUAUUUUUUCAUCUAGAUUUAAAUUGAAAAUUAUUCUAAUUCAAAUAAAAAUUCUUUGAUUUGUCUGAAAGAAUUUACGUACAUUCAUUCAAACCUAUUUAUUUUUAUCUAGAUUUAUAAAUUUAAAAUUAUUCGAAUUCAAACCAAUUUUUUUGUUGAUUUGUCUAGAAGAAUCUACAUACAUUCAUUAUGUACUAUUUACUUUUAUCUAGAUUUUCAAAUUUAAAUGAUUCAAAUUCAAACAAAAAAUCAGUGAUUUGUCCGAAAGAAUCUACUUACAUUAACUCAAAACUAUUUAUUUUUAUCUAUAUUUUAAAUUUAAAUUUAUUCAAAUUCAAACAAAUUUUUUGUUGAUUUGUCUGAAAGAAUUUACGAAGUUUUGACAAUUUUGAGGGUGUGCGAAAUUUUGACAUCAUCUUUAACACGCAGGUCAUGGACAUUUUUUUAACAGGGAUGUCGGGCGCUCGUUCUAGAGGAUAUUUGAAUUGAAUUGUGUUGUGUCGAUUUCUAACUCUCGGGUUGGAGCAAAUGAAUUUCGUGACGGCAGGAACAAAACCAAGAUGUCUUCGUUGUACACCAAUCGGAGUUGUUGCCAAAGUAAAUAGUUCGGUUUGCCUCCAUGCGGGAACAUGCAUGUGGUUUGGUGGUAAGCUCAUGCGUGUUACUCUCGAGCAUCAGAGUUAGAAUCCGCAAGGCACUCGUUUUUCUUUCUCAAAUAGCAAUAUGUCCGUGCGUUGCAACGGAUCCAAAAUAAAAUAGUAUUAUGUCAUUCGAAGUAAAUUCUUGGGGUUGUUUUGAUGAGGUGAGAAAGAGAUGUGGUUUGUUUCAAGAUAAUAAGAGGUUUUCUGUAAAUUGGAGCAGAGAAGUGGGCUAUUGUUGCAAAAAUGUCACAACUUACCUCACAACUGUUAGAUAUAGAUCUAAUGGUCAGAAAUGACGGAUGGCAGACACACCAUCAUCAUCAACUGAGUCUUUUAUAGGAGUAGAGAUUUCUCCCCUCUCAGCACGUGCUUACAAGUGGGACCCAGUAGGCUUUUACGUAAUUAAAUAAAAAGUGAGGGGUGUUUCUGCCAAAAAUAACAUGUGCCAUCACACUGGCCUGUUCUAGUCACUGUCGGUGGGCCAUAGCCACGCUGACAUGCCACACAUGCAUGGGGUACAUCUGAAAUUUAUGACCAUAUUUGCAUGCCCGGUAAAGUUAAAUAGCUUAAAACAUGUAUUUUACAAGUUUGUGGAUAAAAUGGUCACCCAAUGCAAGUUUUAUGACGAGGGAAGACUUGUAUAGGAUCUACCCUUAGAUGAGAUCAAUGAGAUCGAUCUAUUUGGAGAUACAAAACAUGUUAAAAAAUUAUGAAAAAAUUUGGAGACACUCAUCCAUCUUUGAUGUACAAGCUCAAAAAAAUUCAGCUCCUAAUUCAAACUACACUUAGAGGACAAAAAAGACAAAAUCAGAUAUGAAUAGUGUCAAAAACUGUUCACCAAAAGCUGACACUAUUCGUAGUCGAAUUUGUCUUUUUUUAAUCUCUAAUUGCAGAUCGAGUUUUGAGCUGUUUUUUUUUUGGGAGUUGUAGACAUAACCCGCAGGUAUGUUGUAAAUUAUUUUCAGAAUUUUUUGAAUUGUCUAAAUACGAAAAAAUUUGGGUUGAUCCUACGAUCUCACCUAAAGUGCUGAUUCAGUGUAUUUAUCUCUUUCUGAAGUGUCUUUUUUUCUCUCUUCGUUUCUGAAUCAUGAGUAACCCGAAAUGGCUAACUUUGUUGCAUUCGAAUCUUCUUGCAGUUUUGUUAUGGAAGCAGGAUUAUCAUGUCGUUCGGAAUCAAAACCAACUAAUGUUUAUUUUCACUUUGUGUGUCUCGGCUUUGGUAUCGCUCCAGGCCUAGAAGCAGAAUUGUAACCCAAACCUGCUGCAGCAAACUGUAGACGGUCUCAACCCCAGUGAAAACAGAGUCCAAACUACUGGUUGGAAAUUAUUCUCGACUAAGGAAUGAGAGACGCUGCGCACGACACUAAACAGAGUCACUCAGUUGGUUCGGAAAAUCAAAGUUCGUUCACUCACAUAGAUCCAAACGUUCAAAGCUUCAGCUGAACAAAUUCAAGCCCUUUCGAAUGGAAGUUCAUACUACUAUUACGUACUCCCUUUGUCCCAUAAUAUAAGAGUAUUUUUUACACUACACUGAUGUUCAAAACACUCUUGUUUUAUGGGUCGGAGGGAGUAGAUUCUAGGGAUCCCACUUAAAGCAGACAGACAGUCUAAAACCCAGACGAAGAAGACAACAACAAAAGCCCAGAUAGGCAUGUCCCCUGGUACAACGACGAUACUGGCAUAAAACAUCUUCCAAACAUCUACUAGUAACUUAGUACUCCGAAAUGAAACGGCGCAUCUCCAAGCUCCAAAAUGAUCCGUCUUCGAUCCUUCGGCAGGCACAUCAACAAGCGCGCAGCGAAGCUAGGCAGCAUCGUUGACAUCCGGGAGGCUGACGAAAACAACGAGCGCAAGUUAAUCACAGCCCAAACUUGAGAAGAAGCGAAGAAUUAAGAGACCAACGCACCACAGAGACUCACUUGGACAAGGCUGAGUGCAGAUUGACGGCAAGAAGCACGAAGGACGCGACGGUGGACUCCGCGUACGAGCGCCGGGCAGCCUGCGUCGGCGCCGUGACAGCCAUCCACGCCAGGGCACAGCCGGACGCGGUGUUCACGAGCACGCAGAACAUCAGGAACAUGUGGCUGCCGAAGAUGGCGCGGAGGCAGGCCCGGUCGUCGGCCGUCAUGGAGACAGCCGCCGCCGUGCCCAGCAGCAGCAGCAUGGCCAGCACGGGCACCGCCAUCUUGACGAUCUUGGCAUUGUUCUGGUUCGCUCUCGCAGCUCCUGCGGCACCCAGCAGAUGGCGGCCUUCAAAGUUCCAGACAAGAAACAAGAAGAUCAAAUCUUUGGUGGCAUGACAGUAAAAUAGCAGAACAAGAAGAUCAUAAGGUGAAACUUGGCGAGUUGCCACUGCUCCUCCAACAAGCAACAAAAAGAAAGCCCAAAUUAAGCCUUUGUCGUGGAAAAUCGGAGGGAAUGCGACUCGUUUCAACCUGACGAGAACGCAAAAGAUCUCCAAAAGGAAACCGCGUCGCUCUACCGUGAAGAAGACGGAGAAAAGGAAACAAAGCAAGAACAUUCAUCCGGAGAUCUUAAGCCCAAACUCCCACCCGAAUAGCUAGCAGAACAAACUAGCAGCAGGGAAAACCAACAAUGAUCAACCAAGAGGGGUAGAUUCAAGCAUACCAUCCAUCUCUCCAGUACUGCUCUUUUCCCUGACCACGGGGAGUUGUGGAGGUGUUGGCGGGGCUCUAUAGGAAAUUGCGGUGGAGCUUUUGGUCAAGAUGAUUCAUGGACAGAUGGCAAAAUUUCCAGUCUGGAGGCAGCAGCAGACGCAGCUUUUUCAGAUUUCAGUUUCUUCUUUUCAGAGCUCGAUCGCCACCCUUUUCUUUUCUGGUUUCUUGCACCUACUCACGCCCAAUUCUCUUACUGGAAUACUUUCUUUUCGGGACAGUAAAAAUCGACUGAUUUUGCUUUUUUCAAAACGCACAUGACGAUUCGCAGUUCCUCACAAGCGACGAAUGGUGGUAGUCCAAAUGAACUGAAACAACAUGACGCCAUCGGUCCACUUUAACGCAUCAUGAAACUGACACAUUGAUUUGAAAUAGUUCGAACAGAAUGGGCUGGUCCUCCUAGAAAAGUUCUACUACUCCGUCUCACAAUGUAAGACAUUUUUACAAGCUAGUUUAGCUUGCAAAAACGUCUUACAUUAUGAACGGAGGGAGUAGUUUGAAGGGUCGGCAAUGGGCAAGAUGUUCGCAUUUGUCGUGACCGAUGAUCACUCGCGAGCCUACAGGGGUUUUUUUUUUGAAAGAUCCAGAAUUGCUGGCGUUUUCAUUGAUCAUAGCAGAAAGCAGUAGAAAACAACAAUGGUGGUGAGGAUCCUAGGAUCAAAGUUUUAGGGAGUGCCACACACGGAAAAAAACCCUAGAAACAAGAGUGGGUUUAUCUCUCAAGGGGGGUCCCCGAAAGGGCUCUCUAAGCAUGCAGCUCCUGUGGUUCUCCAUAGCUCGAUGUUGUCUCUUAUGCGCUUGAUGAUUCCUGCCACGCACGGCAGAUGCUGCCUGAAGGUGCUGUGGUUUCUCUCCUGCCAAAUCUCCCAGCAAGCAAGCCAGCACAGCGUCUGCACUCCCUUUCGCCAUUGGUGUGGGGUCUGCUCCAGGAUGCCUUGCACGAUCGCGGUGGUGCUGUCAUGGCGCCAGCUCUCGGCCAGGGUGAGAGCCGAGCAGCCAUGCCACAGUCCCAGCUCGGCCCACACUCGUCCGGCUUCGUGGCAGCUCCAAAAGAGGUGGCGCGACGACUCCAGGUUUCUGACGCAGAGUUGGCAGAAGUAAGCGUUUGUCCAGCCCCGCCGCUGGAGUCUGUCAUUGCACCAGAGCCGAUCCCGAGGAGCAACCAGGCAAAGAUUUUGAUUUUUCCCGGCGCCCAGGCCUUCCAAACCAGACGGUCAAAAUGGGUCGCCGUUCUACCCUGGAACUGCGCCAGGUACGCCGAUUUCGCUGUGUACUUUCCUGAGCUGGCUCUACUCCACGUCAGGUCAUCCGGCACUCCUGGCUGCAGCUGCGUGUCCGUCCCCUGGAGCAGGCGAUGAAGGGCGAGGACGUCCGGCAGGAGAUGGCGGUUGUUGUCGUGGGCUAGGUCGCGGAUCCACGUGUCGUCACUGAGGGCCUCCCGCACCGAUCUAUUCUUGCGGCGCGAGUAGCUGAACAGCCUUGGGAAUUGCUGCGAGAGGCAGCCCUGGCCGAUCCAUGGAGAGAGCCAGAAGGAGGCCCGAGCCCCGUCGCCGAUCGCAACGCUGGUGGAGGCCGCGAAGAGCGCUUUGUCCGCGCCGUCGCAAGGCAGCUCGGUGCCCACCCAAGGCCGCUCCGGGUGGUGCCAGGCAGUCUAGAGCCAGCGCAGCCGCAGCGCUCUGCCAAAACGCUGCAGGUCAGGGAUGCCCAGGCCUCCUUGCUCCGUCGGGGCGCAGACCGCCGGCCAGUUGACCUUGCAGCUGGCGCCCGAAAUCUCGUCGUCCUGGCACCAGAGGAAACGUCGCCUGCACUUGUCGAUCUCCUUGAGAAUUUUCUUUGGGACACGGAGGACGGUGAGGGCGAAGGUCGGCAUGGCACUCAGCACGCAUCGGACGAGCACGCGGCGGCCGGCCAUCGGUAGCAGCUUGCCCUUCCAGCCCGCAAGCCUUGCCUUGAUUCUGUCGAUGAUGAACUGGAGGUGGACCAAGCGAAGGCGUCCCGUAGAGACCGGCAACCCAAGGUAUUUGAUUGGGAAGGGAGCGAUGGAGCCUGCAAAACCCUGGAGCACCUCCUCGACGUUGAUGUUCUCGCAACGGAUCAGCGAGACCGUGGAUUUGGCCGGGUUGAUGCAGAGCCCCGUUGCCUCACCGAAGUCGCUAAGGAUGUGCAGCAGAGAAUCUACCUCUUCUCGUCUAGGGUUUAUGAAGAUAACUGCGUCGUCGGCAUAUAGGCUUACACGAAGCGCCGGGUCGCGGCCUGGAGAGGCGAUGUAACAGCUGCUGAUCUACCGCCGUCGUGAUGAGGUGGUGCAGUGGGUCGAUUGCCAAAAUGAAGAGGAAGGGGGAGAGCGGGUCUCCCUGGCAUAACCCACAGUGAUGAAGGAUGCUUGGGCCAACCGAACCGUUGAGAGAGACCGCUGAAGAAGCCGAGACGAGCAGGCGAGCCACCCAGUCCCGCCAUCGCGCACUAAACCCUAGCUGUUGGAGCAGCUCCAGCAAAUAUUCCCAGGAGACGGUGUCGAACGCCUUCGCUAUAGGAGGUUUGAUUUCGAGCAAAGGAAGGUGCAGAUUCAAAUGGGUCUAUAGUUAAACUUCAGCAAUAUUAUAGCAACUCCAACCGGGUGACCCAUUUUAUCCGUUUGGGUUGUCCGGACAUAAACACGAUCCAACAGGGCGACCCAAACGCACACUGCGUUCGUCUGCUGUCCGUUUUGUGUCCGUUCAGACUCAUAUCCAGCCCAAACUUGAGGCACAAUUGGGUCAAAAGCGGACACAAAGUGAACGUUCUCCGUGCCUUCUUCGUCCGCCUCUGUCCGGUUGCAUGUGCCGCUUGGCCCACUUGCCAUCCACCCACCCGUCCCAUCUCAUCUCUCUUCUCCUUUUCCUCUCUCUUCUCCCACCCACCCGCUCACCCCGCUCGAGAGCUGGAGCGGCGCUGGCCUGCCCCCCGUGCCUCGCCUCCCCCACGCCGCUUUGCCCUCGCGCGCUAGGCCCCGCGCACGUCGCUGUGCCGCCCGGCCGUCCUCUUGCCUGGUCGUACCCGGCCUCCCCAGCUUGCCGCGCGCCAGCUCUGCACGCCUCGUCACCAGCCCGCUCGCCUGCCGGCUUCACGGGUGCGCAACCCUCCCUCUCUUCGGCGCUCUCCUUCUCCUCGACCUCCUAGUUGCUCUCGCGCUCCGUCUUCGCCCCGGACCUCUCCACGCCCCGGGGCACCGGAGGCCGAGGCGGUGGGUCGUCGCCACCGGCGUGCGGGGCGUCGCGGGGGUGUUGGCGGCCUCGUCCUCUGUGCCGGCCGCGUCCAUGUUGCUGUGGGGACAGCGGCGCCAUGCUGCUCGUCACCGCCGGGGCCUACUCCCUCGUGCGCCGCCAGUCGAACUCUACGACCGAGAGCCGCUCCUUGACCUCCAAGGUCGUCCAGACGCGCUGCGGGGAGCUCACCCGGUCACGCUCCGAGCUUCUGGCCGCACCUCGGGCCGCGCCCGGCCGCGCCUGCUCUUGAGCGCUCGGCCGUGCUCCUGGCCGCGCCCGCUCUCGAGCUUCUGGCCAUGCUUCGGGCCGCGCCCGUCCACUCUAGCCCCGCUGCUUCCUGCUCGAGCUGCACGGGCGCUUGCUUCGCCGGCGGAACCAGCCGCAGAGGCAACAAAUGGGUCCGCCGCAUGUCUUUGCGUUGGGUGUAUCUAUCGUCCUCGCGUGUCCGUCGCAUGUCUGUUAAGCGGACGAGUGACCCAAACAGACAAAAAAACAAACAAAAUAUGUGUCGGGUCCAUGUGUUGGAGUUGCUCUUACUUACCGGUUGGCAGAUGGGUAAUGGAGGGAGUAUCGGUGGAUUUACAGUGGAGUAGCCUUCCAGUAAAUCAAGAUAUGCGUUUUUUAUCAGAGAAGAUAGUAUAGAGGAAUGUAGUUCUUGUAUUAUUCAUAUCUGUCCUAGUAAAAAAUAUGCUAAUCAUUUCAUGGCAAACUUUGGUAGAAACUUUAGUAGAAGGCUGAACCGCUGUCUGGCUUGGAUCAGGUCUAGAGGAGGUCUUGGGGCCUUGUCAGACGUGGUUGUAAUCCCUACUAUCUCCUCUCCGUCUUGGUUUAUUGGUUCCUUUCGUAUUUAGUGUCAAAUUUUGAUCAUAGAUUUAACUAAUAAAAUGUCAAUGCAUGUUGUAAAAAAUAAUAUCACUAGAAACUAUGUUCAAAUACGAAUCCAACGAUGUAAUUUUUAUUAACACGCAUUGAUAUUUUGCUAGUUAAAUUUAGGGUCAAAAUCUGGCACAAAAUAUUAGAAGGCCCAAUAAACCAGGAUGGAGGUAGUACGUUCUGAGCAACACAAAAAUUAUUUCGCAACAAAGAAAACACCACGGAUUCCAAAGUAUGAUAUCAACACAAACUAAAAUUAGUAGCAAUUGCAAAUGUUCAUCACAGAUAAUAGGGCCAUGAUUAUGAAUAGUUCACUUAGAAGACCCGUGCUAAUUGACCGUGAAUCCAUGUUAGCUUACCUUCCAAACUGAAACAACAAAUGGAAAAAAGCAAUAGCUCUGAACGAUGUAGAAAAACAGUAGAACUAGAAUCAGGCUAUUUCUUUCUGUAUGUCUAACUAUGAUCCUUCCAAAAUAGAUGUGCCAAUCUACAUCCUCUGAGAAUUGGGUGUAGAAGGUACUUCAGUGUACGACACAAUUACCAAUACUUGAUUCUUCAGAGUAAGGUUCAGAAAAAACAAACUACAGUGCUCCGAUUUCAGGUACGAUAAUCAAUAUCUCAAGAUUGCUUCCCUUAGAUAACUCCUAUUACAACUUGGAUCUCUCCCUAAGAAUCACUGUAAUCAAUGUUGUGAAUAAGACAUUCUGAUUCAACAUGACAUCCUGACAAGCUAACAGCAUAAAACAAACAAAACAAAACAGAGUUCUUCAAUGCUGACUCCAGUGUAAUAUCUACUCAAGAACUGAAGGGCGUUAGCAGGAUAUGUACAAUCAGGAACUGAAAAGGGGUCCGUGCUGUCCAUAUAUAUAUGUAUAGCACUGCAACAUCCAAAAUUCAGGCAAUGCAGGCACAAAAGUUUGAUUCAGGCCACAAAAACAAUCCAACUGCCUAGCCAACAGUAGAUAUCUCGCUCGGUGUUGAACAGAUGCACGAGCAAUCAGUUUCAUUAGUGCCUCUUUCAACUAGGCGUUUGUUCCGGUUAAUCAACAGCUUGAUCAGUGGUGCUUUCAAGGAAACUUGGCGCCAUAUUUGAUUCACUGGUCCAUUCGGAUCUUCAUACUCAAAGUAAUGUUUUACCUGCAACAAAUAUCCAAGGUUCAGCAAAUAAACU